ACUUUUUUCAAAUGGUCACAAAAUCUUCUCCACUUUGAGUUUUUAGCUGAAUUUUUUUGUGCAUGCCAAAAAAAAUACAAGGAUCACCUCUACCAAAUUUGGGGACAAACUCUUUCUAAAAAAAUUUUAAAAAAUCUUGAAUCGUAAAAAGUUUCAAAAAUCGUUAAAAAUAGAAAACGGGUCGUCUUGCCACGAACUUCACAUGAAGGCUUAGGGGACCGUUGUAUGAAUUUACAAGCCAUAAAAUUGGCAUUAGCAUGGUAGAAAUAUGAAGAUGUGCUUGAACCCACCUACCGCCCGUUCGAUCCCCGGCUUGCGCAUCCUGCCUCUCUGGUCGGCUGAGCGUCCACAUGCUCGUUUUAUGGGUUGACUUAGGCAUACAAAGUUCAUCCUCAGUCUAAGCAUACGGAGUUCAUUCCCAGUCUAAGAUCAGACCAGACCGAGGGUUGCGACAGUAAGAUCAGCAGCACGCCGGGGGGACUGGGUCAAUCCCCGGCUUACGCAUUCUGUCUCUUCGACCGGCUGAGUGCCCGUACGCCAGUUUCGUGGGUUGGCUUAGGCAUAGGGAGUUCAUUCCACAUCUAAGCCCCUACGGGAUCGAGGGUUGUGGCAGCGAGACUGACAGCACACAGAGGGGGAUCGGGUCGAUCCCAGGCAUGCGCAUUCUACUCUCCGACCGUCUCAGUGCCUGCACGCUCAUUUCAUGGGUUGACUUAGUCAUACGGAGUUCAUUCCAGUCUAUGAUCAGAUCAGAUUGAGGGUUGCAGUAGUAGGAUCAAAAGCACGCAGGUGGGGAUCGGGUCGAUCCCCGGCUUGCACAUUCUGCCUCUCCGAUCGGCUGAGCGAUCGCACGCUCAUUUCAUGGGUUGAUAGGCAUACGGAGUUCAAUUUCAUGUCUAGCAUAGGGGAGUUCAUUCGCCGUCUAAGAUUGGGACUAGAUCGAGGGUUUACGGCGUAGGAUCGAUCAGCGAUGCAGGAAGGGACCAGGUCCGAUCCCGGCUUGCAGCAUUCUGCCUCUUCGAUCGGCUGAGCACCUGCCACGCUCAUUCACGGGUAGGUUUUAGGGCAUUACAGAGUUCAUUCGCUGUCUAAGCCUACGAGUUCAUCCAGUCUAAGAUCGACAAGAAUUCUGCAAGAUCGUGCACUAGGGUUAUCCUCGUUUGAUUCUUCUCCGGUUAGUGAGUAGUUUCAGAUGAUUAGGAACGGAGUUCAUCGGUCUAAGUCAGCAACAUGACACGAAGGGUUGUGGUAGCACGCAAGGGGGGAUCGGGCGAUCCUCAGCUUACGCAUUCUGCCUCUCCGACCGGCUGAGCAUCCGCACGCCCAUUUCGUGGGUUGGCUUAGGCAUAGGGAGUUCAUUACACGUCUAAGCCUCAGCCAGACCGAGGGUUGUGGCAACGGGAUCGGCAGCAUGCAGAGGAGGACCGAGUUGAUCCCCGACUUACGCAUUCUGCCUCUUCGACCGGCCUCUCUAGCCGACUGAUCACCCACGUGCUCAUUUCGUAGGUUGACUUAGGCAUACGGAGUUCAUCCCCAGUCUAAGCAUACGGAGUUCAUUCCAUUCUAAGAUUGGAUCAGAUCGAGGGUUGCAACAGUAAGAUCGACAACACGUAAGGGGGACCGAGCCGAUCCCCGGCUUGUGCAUUCUACCUCUUCGACCGGCUGAGCGCCCGUACGUCUAUUUCGUGGGUUGGCUUAGGCAUAAAGAGUUCAUUCCAUGUCUAAGCCCCAGUCGGACCGAGGGUUGUGGCAGCGGGACCGGUAGUACAUAGAAGGGGAUCGGGCUAAUCCCCGUCUUACACAUUCUGCCUUUUAGGCCGACUGAGCGCCUCACGCUUGUUUCAUGGGUUGGCUUAGGCAUACGGAGUUCAUUCCAUGUCUAAGCAUACGGAGUUCAUUCCCAGUCUAAGAUCAGACUUGACCGAGGGUUACGACAGUAGGAUCAGCAGCAUGCCGGGUGGAUCGGGUCGAUCCUCGGCUUGUGCAUUCUACUCUCUGGCCGGUUGAGCGCCCACCAACGCCCAUUUCGUGGGUUGGCUUUAGGCAUAGGGAUUUCAUUCCAUGUCUAAGCCCCAGUCGGACCGAGGGUUAUGGUAGCAGGACCAGCAGCACGCAGAGGGGGAUCGGGUCGAUCCCUGGCUUGUGCAUUAUGCCUUUUCGAUCGGCUUAGCGCUUGCACGCUCGUUUCGUGGGUUGACUUAGGCAGACGGAGUUCAUUCCCAGUCUAAGAUUGGACCGGACUGAGGGUUGCGGCAGCAGGAUCGAUAGCACAUAAGCGGGGAUCGGGUCGGUCCCUGGCUUGCACAUUCUGCCUCUCUGACUAGCUGAGCACCCGUAUGCUUGUUUCGUGGGUUGGCUUAGGCAUACGUAGUUCAUUCCCAGUCUAAGAUCGGAUCGGAUCGAGGGUUGCGGUAGCAGGACCAACAGCAGGAUUGGCAGCACGUAGGGGGGACCGAGCCGAUCCUCGACUUGCGCAUUCUGCCUCCCCGGCCGGUUGAGCACCCGCUUGCUCGUUUCAUCGGUUAGCUUAGGCAUACGGAGUUCCUUCCAUGUCUAAGCCCUAGCCGGACCGAGGGUUGUGGUAGUAGGAUCGACAGCGGGAUCGGCUGCAUGCAGAGGGGGAUCGAGCUAAUCCCUGGCUUAAGCAUUAUGCCUCUCUGGUCGGUUGAGUGCCCGCACGCUUGUUUCAUGGGUUGACUUAGGCAUACGGAGUUCAUCCCAGUCUAAGCAUACGGAGUUUAUUUUCAGUCUAAGAUCGGACCGAACUGAGGGUUGCGGUAGUAGGAUCGGCUUAGGGAGUUCAUUCUCGAUCUAGGAUCAGACUGGACCGAGGGUUGCGAUAGCAGGAUCGACAAAAUGCAAGAGGGCACCGGGUCGAUCCCCGACUUACGCAUUUUGCCUCUCCGAUCGGUUGAGUGCCCGUAUGCUCGUUUCAUGGGUUGGCUUAGGCAUACGGAGUUCAUUCCAUGUCUAAGCAUACGGAGUUCAUUCCCAGUCUAAGAUCGGAUCGGACCGAGGGUUAUGACAGCAGGAUCGACAGCACGCAGGGGUGGACCUAACCAGUCCUCGGCUUACAAAUUCUGCCUCUUCGAUCGGCUGAGCGCCCGCACGCUUGUUUUGUGGGUUGGCUUAGGCAUACAGAGUUCAUUCCAUGUCUAAGCAUACGGAGUUCAUUCCCAGUCUAAGAUUGGAUCGGACCAAGGGUUAUGGCAACAGGACUAGCAGCUAGACCGACAGGAUGCAGGGGGAGACCGGGUCUAUCCCCGGCUUACGCAUUAUACCUCUCCAGCUAGCUGAGCAUCUGUACGCUCGUUUCAUGGGUUGGCUUAGGCAUACGGAGUUCAUUUCAAGUCUAAGCCCCAAUCGAACCGAGGAUGGUGGCAGCAGGACCGACAGCAGGAUCGACAGCACGUAAAGGGGGACCGGCUGAUCCCCAACUUGCGCAUUAUGCCUUUUCGAUCAGCCUCUCCAGCCGACUGAGUACCCGCAUGCUCGUUUCAUGGGUUGACUUAGGCAUACAGAGUUCAUCCCCAGUCUAAGCAUACAGAGUUCAUUCCCAGUCUAAGAUCGAAUCAGACCGAGGGUUGUGGUAGUAGGAUCGUUAGCACACAGGGGAGACCGGGGCAAUCCUCGGCUAUGCAUUUUGCCUCUCCGAUCGACUAAGCGCCCACACGCCCGUUUCGUGGGUUGGCUUAGGCAUAGGGAGUUCAUUCCAUGUCUAAGCCCUAGCCAGACCGAGGGUUGUGGCAGCGAGACCGACAGCACGCAGAAGGGGACCGAGCUAAUCCCUGACUUGCGCAUUAUGCCUCUCCAGCUGGCUCAGCGCCUGAACGCUCAUUUCGUGGGUUGAAUUAGGCAUACGGAGUUCAUUCCCAUUCUAAGAUCAGAUCGGACCAAGGGUUGUGGCAGCAAGAUCGGAAGGACGCAGGGGGGACCAGGUCGAUCCUCGACUUGCACAUUCUACCUCUUCGUCGGCCUCUCCAGUUGGUUGAGCGCCCGCACGCUCAUUUCAUGGGUUGACUAAGUUAUACUGAGUUCAUCCUCAGUCUAAGCAUACAGAGUCCAUUCUCAGUCUAAGAUCGAACCAGACCGAAGGUUGCGGCAGCAGGAUCGACAGCACGCAGGGGGGAUUGGGUCGAUCCCCGACUUGCGCAUUCUGCCUUUUCGAUCGGCUGAGCGCCCGCAAGUCCGUUUCAUGGGUUGGCUUCGGCAUAGGGAGUUCAUUCCAUGUUUAAGCCCCAGCCGGACUGAAGGUUGUGGCAGCGGGAUCGGCAGCACAUAGAGGGGGACCGAGCCAAUCCACAGCUUGCGCAUUCAGCCUCUCCGGUCGGCUGAGUGCCCGCACGCUUGUUUCGUGGGUUGGCAUAGGCAUAUAGAGUUCAUUCCAUGUCUAGGCAUACGGAGUUCAUUCCCAGUUUAAGAGUUUGAGCCACAAUCCACAUGCUGAGCUCGGGCAGGUGCUGGUGCCACAUUUUUUUUGCCCGAGGCACCAUUGUCGGAGCAUCACCAGAGCAUCGCUGGAGAGCCUAACCGGCGACAUUGGAGGUUCCGACGAUUAGGGGGGUCGGGGGGUUGUUCGCGCGUGAUGUGCGAUGGGUGCUGGUACAUCACAUGAAGGCGUAGGGGACCAUUGUAUGAAUUUACAAGCCAUAAAAAUGGCAUUGGCAUGACAAAAAUAUGAAGAUGUGCUUGAACCCACCAACCACACUUUCGAUCCCCGGCUUGCGCAUCCUGCCUCUGUGGUAGGUUGAGCGUCCGCACGCUCGUUUUCUGGGUUGACUUAGGCAUACGAAGUUGAUCCCCAGUCUAAGCAUACGGAGUUCAUUCCCAGUCUAAGAUCGGAUCAGACCGAAGGUUGCGACAGCAGGAUCGACAGCACGCCGGGGGGAUCGGGUCGAUCCCCGGCUUGCGCAUUCUACCUCUUCGGUUGGUUGUGCGCCCACACGCCCGUUUCGUGGGUUGGCUUAGGCAUAGGGAGUUCAUUCCAUGUCUAAGCAUACGGAGUUCAUUCUCAGUCUAAGAUCACAUCAGAUCGAGGGUUGUGGUAGCAGGACCAGCAGCAGGAUCGGUAGCACGCAGGGGGGAUCGAGCCGAUCCCCAACUUGCGCAUUCUACCUCUCCGGUCGACUGAGCGCCCGUACGCUCGUUUCGUGGGUUGGCUUAGGCAUACGGAGUUCAUUCCAUGUCUAGGCAUACAGAGUUCAUUUCCAGUUGAAGAUUGCACCGGAUCGAGGGUUGCGGUAGCAGGACCAGCAGCAGGAUCGGUAGCACAUAGGGGGGAUCGGGUCGAUCCUUGACUUGCGCAUUCUGCCACUCCGGUCGGUUGAGUGCCCGCACGCUCGUUUCAUGGGUUGGCUUAGGUAUACAGAGUUCAUUCCAUGUCUAAGCCCUAGCCGGACCGAGGGUUGUGGCAGCAGGACCGACAGUAGGAUUGGCAGCACGCAGAGGGGGACCGGGCUAUUCCCCGAUUUGCGCAUUAUGCCUUUCUGGCCGGUUGAGUGCCUGUGCGCUUGUUUCAUGGGUUGACUUAGGCAUACGGAGUUCAUCCCCAGUCUAAGCAUACGGAGUUCAUUCCCAGUCUAAGAUCGGAUCGAACCGAGGGUUGUUACAGUAGGAUCGACAACACGCUGGGGGGGCCGGGCUGAUCCCCGGCUUGUGUAUUUUGCCUUUCCGAUCGGCUGAGCACCCACACGCCCGUUUCGUGGGUUGGCUUAGGCGUAGGGUGUUCAUUCCAUGUCUAAGCCCUAGCCAGAUCGAGAGUUGUGGCAGCGGGACUGGCAGCACGCAGAGGGGGAUCGAGCCGAUCUUCGGCUUACGUAUUAUGCCUCUCCGGUCGGCUCAGUGCCCGCACGCUCGUUUCUUGGGUUGACUUAGGCAUACGAAGUUCAUUCUCGGUCUAAGAUCAGACCGGAUCGAGGGUUGCGGUAGCAAGAUUGACAGUACACAGAGGGACCGAGCCGAUCCCCGACUUACUCAUUCUGCCUCUCCGACCGGCUGAGCGCCCGCACGCUCGUUUUGUGGGUUGGCUUAGGCAUACAGAGUUCAUUCCAUGUCUAAGCAUAUGGAGUUCAUUCCCAAUCUAAGAUUGGACCGGAUCGAGGGUUACGGCAGUAGGAUAGAUAGCACGCAGGGAUGGACCUGACUGGUCCCCGACUUACGGAUUCUGCCUCUCCAACUGGCUGAGCGCCCGUACGCUUCUUUUGUAGGUUGGCUUUGGCAUACGGAGUUCAUUCCCAGUCUAAGAUUGGAUCGGACCAAGGGUUGCGGUAGCAGGACCAGCAGCAGGACCGACAGCAUACAAGGGGAGACCGGGUCAAUCCCCGGCUUACGUAUUCUGCCUCUCCGGCUGGCUGAGUGCCCGCACGCUCGUUUCAUGGGUUGGCUUAGGCAUACGGAGUUCAUUCCAUGUCUAAGCCCCAGCUGAACCAAGGGUGGUGGUAGCAGGACCGGCAGCGGGAUCGGCAGCACGUAGAAGGGGACCGGACUGAUCCCCGACUUGCACAUUAUACCUCUCCGAUCAGCCUCUCUAGCCGGUUAAGCACCCGCACGCUCGUUUCAUGGGUUGACUUAGGUAGAUUGACUUCAUCCCCAGUCUAAGCAUACGGAGUUCAUUCCCAGUCUAAGAUCGGAUCAGAUCGAGGGUUGCGACGUAGGAUCAUCAGCAUGCAAGAGGGACCGGGCCGAUCCCCGACUUACGCAUUCGCCUUUCUGGCCGACUGAGCACCCACACGCUUGUUUCAUGGGUUGGCUUAGGCAUAGGGAGUUCAUUCCAUGUCUAAGCCCCAGUCGGACCGAGGGCUGUGGUAACAAGACCGGUAGCACGCAGAAGGGGGCUAUGCUGAUCCUCGACUUACGCAUUAUGCCUCUCCGGCCGGCUCAAUGCCUGAACGCUCAUUUCGUUGGUUGAAUUAGGCAUACGGAGUUCAUUCCAUGUCUAGGCAUACAGAGUUCAUUUCCAGUCUAAGAUUGCACCGGAUCGAGGGUUGCGGUAGCAGGACCAGCAGCAGGAUCGGUAGCACAUAUGGGGAUCGGGUCAAUCCCCGACUUGCGCAUUCUGCCUCUUCGGUCGAUUGAGUGCCCGCACGCUCAUUUCGUGGGUAGGCUUAGGUAUACGGAGUUCAUUCCAUGUCUAAGCCCUAGCCGGACUGAGGGUUGUGGCAGCAGGACCGACAGCAGGAUCGACAGCACGCAGAGGGAACCGGGCUAAUCCCUGACUUGUGCAUUAUGCUUCUCAGGCCGGCUGAGCGCCUGCAGGCUCGUUUCGUGGGUUUACUUAUGCAUACAGAGUUCAUCCCCAGUCUAAGCAUACGGAGUUCAUUCCCAGUCUAAGAUCGAAUCGGACCGAGGGUUUGGGCAGCAGGAUCGACAGCACGCAGGGGGGAUCGAGUCAGUCCUCGACUUACGCAUUCUACCUCUCCGAUCGACUGAGCGCCCGUACACUCGUUUCAUGGGUAGGCUUAGGCAUACAGAGUUCAUUCCAUGUCUAAGCAUACGGAGUUCAUUCCCAAUCUAAGAUCAGACCAGACCGAGAGUAAUGGCAGUAUGACCAGCAACAGGAUCGACAACACGCAGGGAGGGAUCGGGCCGGUUGAGCACCCGCACUCCCGUUUAGUGGGUUGGCUUAGGCAUAGGGAGUUCAUUCCAUGUCUAAGCCCUAGCCGGACCGAGGGUUGUGGCAGCGAGAUCAGUAACACGUAGAGGGGGAUCGGGUAGAUUCUCGACUUGCGCAUUAUGUCUGUCUGACCAUCUCCGUGCCUGCACACUCAUUCCAUGGGUUGACUUAGGCAUACAGAGUUCAUUCCCAGUCUAAGAUCAGACCGGACCGAUGGUUGCGGCAACAGGAUCUACAGCAUGAAGGAGAGGAUCGGGUCAGUCCCCGACUUGCGCAUUCUGCCUCUCUAAUCGGCUGAGCACUCGCAUGCUCGUUUCGUGGGUUGGCUUAGGCAUACGGAGUUCAUUUCCAAUCUAAGAUUGGACCGAACCAAGGGUUACGGCAGCAGGACCAGCAACAGGAUCGGCAGCAUGCAGGGGGGAUCAGGCCGAUCCCUAACUUGCACAUUCUGCCUCUUCGAUCGGCUGAGCUCCCGCACGCUCGUUUCGUGGGUUGGCUUAGGCAUAUGGAGUUCAUUCCAUGUCUAGGCCCCAACCGAACUGAGGGUUGUGGCAGCAGGACCGGCAGCGGGAUCGACAGCACGCAGAGGGGGACCAGGCUGAUCCCCGACUCAUUUCGUGGGUUGACUUAGGCAUACGGAGUUCAUCCCCAGUCUAAGCAUACGGAGUUCAUCCCCAGUCUAAGCAUACGAAGUUCAUUCCUAGUCUAAGCUCAAAUCGGAUAGAGGGUUGCAGUAGCAAAUCCAGCAGCAGGAUUAGCAGCACACAGGGGGGAUUGGGUCGAUCCCCGGCUUGCUUAUUCUGCCUUUCGGUCGGUUGAGAGCCCGCACGCUCGGUUCGUGGGUUAGGUUAGGCAUACGGAGUUCAUUCCCAGUCUAAGAUUUUGAGCCACGGUGCACAUGCUGGGCUUAGGCAUGUGUUGGUUCCGCAUUUUUUUCGCCCAGGGCACCACCGUCGGAGCAUCGCCAGAGAGCCUAACCGACGGCAAUGGUGGUUUCGACGAUUGGGGGGCCGGGGGGUGCACGCACAUGAUGUGCGAUGGGUGCUGGUACUUGGCCCUUAUAUUGGCCCCCUAUCCCUCAUCAAACCUUGAGAACUCACACCCCCUUAAAGAGCAUUUGAGAUUUUAUAGGUUUGCUUCCAAUAGCCAUUAAAAUGUCUAAAAUGGGGACACUUUUUCCAAAUAGUCACAAAAUCUUCUCCUCUUCGAUCUUUGAGCUGAAUUUUUUUGUGCAUGCCGACAAAAAUACAAGGAUCACCUGUACCAAAAACUCUUUCUAAAAAAGUUUUAAAAAAUCCUGAAUCGUAAAAAGUUAAAAAUCAUGAAACAUAAAACGGGUUCCGUCUUGCCACGAGAACCUUCACAUGAGGCAUAGCGGGACCAUUGUAUGAUUUACAAGCCAUAAAAAUGGCAUUGGGCAAGAUCAGAAAUAUGAAGAUGUGCUUGAACCCACAUACCACCGACGUCGAGAGUCCGUUGGUAUCCUGCCUUCGUCGGCUGAGCACCACACGCUCGUUUUAUGGUUGACUUGGCUACAGAGUUUAUCCUCUGUCUAAGCAAAUGGAGUUCAUUCCCAGUUUAAAAUCAGAUCAGAUCGAGGGAUGCAACAGCAGCAUCGGCAGCACGCAGGGGGGACCGGGCCGAUCCUCAACUUGUGAAUUCUGCCUCUCCGGUCGGCUAAGUGCCUGAACGCCUGUAUCGUGAGUUGGCUUAGGCAUAGGGAGGUCAUUCCAUGUCUAAGACCCAGUCGGAGCUAGGGUUAUGGCAGCGGGACUGACAGCACGCAGAGAGGGACCAGGCUGAUCCCCUGCUUGCGCAUUGUGCCUCUCCAAUCGACUCAGUGCCCGCACACUCGUUUCGUGGGUUGACUUAGGCAUACGGAGUUCAUUCCCAGUCUAAGAUCGGAUCGGACCGAAGGUUACGACAGCAAGAUCGACAGUACGCAGGGGGGGAUCGGGCCGGUCCCCAGCUUGUGCAUUCUGCCUCUCUGACCAGCUGAGCGCCCGCACGCUCGUUUUAUGGGUUGGCUUAGGCAUACAGAGUUCAUUCCAUGUCUAAGCAUACGGAGUUCAUUCCCAGUCUAAGAUCGGACCAGAUCGAGGGUUGGGGUAGUAGGACUAGUAGCAAGAUCGACAGCAUACAGGGGGGAUGGGCUGAUCCCCGGCUUGCACAUUCUGCCUCUCCAACCGGCUGAGUGUCCGCAUGCUCGUUUCAUGGGUUGGCUUAGGCAUACGAAUUUCAUUCCAUGUCUAAGCCCCAGUCAGACCGAGGGUUGUGGCAGUUGGACCGACAGUGGAAUCAACAGCAUGUAGAGGGGGGCUGGGUUGAUCCCCAGCUUGUGCAUUAUGCCUCUUCGACCAGCCUCUCCAGCAGGCUGAUGCCCACACGCUCAUUUCUUGGGUUGACUUAGGCAUACGGAGUUCAUCCCCAGUCUAAGCAUACAAAGUUCAUUCCUAGUCUAAGAUCAAACCGGACCGAGGGUUGCGGUAACAGGAUCGAUAACACGCAGGGGGGAUCGAGCCGAUCCCCGGCUUGCACAUUCUGUCUAUCCGGCCGACUGAGUGCCCGCACGCCUAUUUUGUGGGUUGGCUUAGGCAUAGGGAGUUCAUUCUAUGUUUAAGCCCCAGUCGGACCGAGGGUUGGGGCAGUGGGAUCGACAGCACGCAGAAGGGGAUCGGGUCGAUCCCCAGCUUGCGUAUUAUGCCUCUCCAGCCGGUUUAGCACCCGAACGCUCGUUUCAUGGGUUGACUUAGGCAUACGGAGUUCAUUCCCAGUCUAAGAUCAGACCGGACCAAGGGUUGUGGUAGCAAGAUCAACAGCACGUAGGGGGGGAUCGGGCCGAUCCCCGGCUUGUGCUUUUACCUCUUCGAUCGACUGAGCGCCCGCACGCUCGUUUCAUGGGUUGGCUUAGGCAUACGAAGUUCAUUCCAUGUCUCAGCAUACGGAGUUCAUUCCCAGUCUAAGAUCAAAUCGGACCGAGGGUUACGGCAGUAAGAUCAGCAGCAUGUAGGGGGGACCGAGCCGAUCCCCAGCCUGCGCAUUCUACCUUUUCGGCCAGCUAAGCGCCCGCACGCUCGUUUCGUGGGUUGGCUUAGGCAUACGGAGUUCAUUCCAUGUCUAAGCCCCAGCAGGACCGAGGGGUGUGGCAGCAGGACCGACAGCUAGAUCGGUAGCACGUAGAGGGGGAUCGGGUUGAUCCCUGGCUUCCGUAUUAUGCCUCUCUGGCCGGCCUCUCCGGCAGGCUGAGCACCUGUAUGCUCCUUUCAAACGAUCACAAAAUCUUCUCCACUUCUAGUUUUUAGCUGAAUUGUUUUGUGCAUGCCAACAAAAAUACAAGGAUCACGAUAGUAGGAUCGACAACACGUAGGGGGACCGAGCAGAUCCUCGAUUUAUGCAUUUUGCCUUUUCGGCCGACUGAGUGCUCGCACGCUCGUUUUGUGGGUUGGCUUUGGCAUACGGAGUUCAUUCCAUGUCUAAGCAUACAGAGUUCAUUCCAUGUCUAAGAUCGGACCAGACUGAGGGUUGCGACAGUAGGACCAGCAGCAGGAUCAGUAGCACAGAAGGGGACCGGGCAGAUCCCCAGCUUACGCAUUCUACCUCUCCGGUCGGCUGAGCUCACGCACGCUCAUUUCGUGGGUUGACUUAGGCAUACAGAGUUCAUCCCCAGUCUAAGCAUACGGAGUUCAUAUCCAGUCUAAGAUCUAAUCAGACCGAGGGUUACGGCAGCAAGAUCGACAGCAUGCAAGGGGCCAGGCCGAUCCCCGGCUUGCGCAUUCUACCUCUCCGACCGACUGAGCGCCCACAUGCCUGUUUCAUGGGUUGGCUUAGGCAUAGGGAGUUCAUUCCAUGUCUAAGCCCUAGCCGGACCGAGGGUUGUGGCAACGGGACUGGUAGCACGCAGAGGGGGACCAACCCGAUCCCCAGCCUAUGCAUUCUACCUCUUCGAUCGGCUGAGCGCCCGCACGCUCGUUUCAUGGGUUGGCUUAGGCAUAUGGAGUUCAUUCCAUGUGUAAGCAUACAGAGUUCAUUCCCAAUCUACGAUCGGACUGGACCGAGGGUUACGAUGCAGGACCAACAGCAGGAUCGACAGCACACAGGGGGGACCGGGCCAUCCUCGGCUUGCACAUUUGCUUCUCCGGCCAGUUGAGCGCCCGCACGCUCGUUUCAUGGGUUAGCUUAGGCGUAGGGAGUUCAUUCCAUGUCUAAGCCCUAGUCGAACCGAGGGUUGUGGCAAUGGGACCGGCAGCACACAGAGGAGGACCGGGCCAAUCCCUAGCUUGCGCAUUCUGCCUCUCCGGUCGACUGAGCACUCGCACACCCGUUUCAUGGGUUGGCUUAGGCAUAGGGAGUUCAUUCCUUGUCUAAGCCCCAGUCGGACUGAUGGUUGUGGCAGCAGUACCAGUAGUAUGUAGGGGGGACCAGCCCGAUCCCUGGCUUACGCAUUCUACCUCUUCAACCGACCUCUCCAGUCGGCUGAGCACCCGUACGCUCGUUUCGUGGGUUGACUUAGGCAUACGGAGUUCAUCUCCAGUCUAAGCAUACGGAGUUCAUUCCCAGUCUAAGAUAGGAUCGGACCGAGGGUUGCUGCAACAGGAUCAGUAGCACGCAGGGGGGACUAGGCCGAUCCCCAGCUUGCGAAUUCUACCUCUUCGGUCGACUGAGCGCCCGCACGCCCGUUUCGUAGGUUGGCUUAGGCAUAGGGAGUUCAUUCAUGUCUAAGCCCCAACCAGAAUGAGGGUUGUGGCAACGGGAUCUGCAGCACGUAGAGGGGGACCGAGCCAAUCCCCGACUUGCACAUUCUGCCUCUCCUGUCGGCUGAGCACCCACACGCUCGUUUCGUGGGUUGGCUUAGGCAUACGGAAUUCAUUCCAUGUAUAAGCAUACGGAGUUCAUUCCCAUUCUAAGAGUUUGAGCCACGGUGCACAUGCUAGGCUCAGGCAUGUGCUGGUGCCACAUUUUUUUCCUGGGGCACCAUUGCCGGAGCAUCGUCGGAGAGCCUAACAGGAGGCAUUGGGGGUUCUGGAGAUUGAGGGGCUGGGGGGUGUGCGCACAGGAUGUGCAAUGGGUGCAGGUGCUUGGCCCUUAUAUUGGCCCCCUAUCCCUCAUCAAACCUUAAAAACUCACACUCCCUUAAAGAGCAUUUGAGAUUUUAUAGGUUUGCUGCUAGUAGCCAUUAAAGUGUCUGAAAUGGGGACAUUUUUUUCAAACGGUCGCCAAAAUCCUCUCCACUUCAAGUUUUUAGAUGAAUUUUUUUCUGCAUGCCAACAAAAAUACAAGGAUCACCUCUACCAAAUUUGGGAACAAAACUCUUUCUAAAAAUAUUUUAAAAAAUCUUAAACCAUAAAAAGUUUCAAAAAUCAUGAAAAAUAGAAAAUGGGUCGUCUUGCCACGAAACUUCACAUGAAAGCUUAGGGGACCAUUGUAUGAAUUUACAAGCCAUAAAAAUGGCAUUGGCAUGAUAGAAAUAUGAAGAUGUGCUUGAACCCAACUACGACCUGUUCGAUCGUCGGCUUGCGCAUCCUGCCUUUCUAGUUGGCUGAGCGUUCGCACGCUCGUUUCGUGGGUUGACUUAGGCAUACGGAGUUCAUCCCCACUCUAAGCAUACGGAGUUCAUUCCCAGUCUAAGAUCAGACCGGAUCGAGGGUUGCGGUAGUAGGAUCGACAGCACGCAGGGGGGACCCGAUUGAUCCCCGACCUGUGCAUUCUGUUUCUCCGACCGAUUGAGUGCCCGCACGUCCAUUUUAUGGGUUGGCUUAGGCAUAAGGAGUUCAUUUCAUGUCUAAGCCCCAGGCCGAUCGAGGGUUGUGGCAGUGGGACUAGCAGCACGCAGAGGGGGACCGAGCCGAUCCCCGACUUGUGCAUUAUGCCUCCCCGACUGGCUCAGCACCCGAACGCUUGUUUUAUGGGUUGACUUAGCCAUACAGAGUUCAUUCCCAGUCUAGGAUCGGACCGAACCGAGGGUUGCUGCAGCAGGAUCGAUGCCCAGCUUGUGCAUUCUGCCUCUUUGGCCGGCUGGGUGCCCACACGCUCGUUUCGUGGGUUGGCUUAGGCAUACGGAGUUCAUUCCACGUCUAAGCAUACGCAAUUCAUUCCUAGUCUAAGAUCAGACCGAACCGAGGGUUGCGGCAGCAAGACCAGCAGCAGGAUCAACAGCAUGUAGGGGGGAUCGGGUCGGUCCCCGACUUGUGCAUUCUACCUCUCUGGUCGGCUGAGCGUCCGCACGCUCAUUUCAUGGGUUGACUUAGGCAUACGGAGUUCAUUCCUUGUCUAAGCCUCAACUGGAUCAAGGGUGGUGGCAGCAGGACUGACAGCGGGAUCGAUAGCACGCAGAGGGGGAUCGGGCUGAUCCCCGACUUGGGCAUUAUUCAUCUCCGACCGGUUGAAUGCUCGCACACUCAUUUCGUGGGUUGACUUAGGCAUACGGAGUUCAUCCUCAGUCUAAGCAUAUGGAGUUCAUUCCCUGUCUAAGAUCGAACUGGAUCGAGGGUUGUGGCAGCAAGAUCGAUAGCACGCAGGGGGGACUGGGUCGAUCCCCGACUUGCGCAUUCUGCCUCUCCGGUCGGCUGAGCGCCCGUAUGCCCAUUUUGUGGGUUGGCUUAGGCAUAGGGAGUUCAUUCCAUGUCUAAGCCCCAACCGGACCGAGGGAUGUGGCAGCGGGACUAGCAGCAUGCAGAGGGGGAUCGGGUCGAUCCUCGGCUUCGCAUUAUGCCUCUUUGGAUGGCUCAGUACCCGAGCGUUCGUUUCGUGGGUUAACUUAGGCAUACGUAGUUCAUUUCUAGUUUAAGAUCGGAUCAGACCGAGGGUUGUGGCAGCAAGAUUGACAGCACGCAGGGAGGAUCGAGUCGGUCCCAGGCUUACGCAUUCUGCCUCUCCGGUCGGCUGAGCGCCCGCACGCUCGUUUCGUGGGUUGGCUUAGGCAGAAGGAGUUCAUUCCAUGUCUAAGCAUACGAAGGUCAUUCCAUGUCUAAGCAUGUGACAGCAGGACAAGCAGUAGGAUCGGUAGCACGUAGGGGGGACCGAGUCGAUCAUCGGCUUGUGCAUUCUGCCUCUCCGACCGGCCCCUCCGGUCGACUGGGCACCCGCACACUCAUUUCGUGUGUUGACUUAGGCAUACGAAGUUCAUCCCCAGUCUAAGCAUACGAAGUUCAUUCUAGUCUAAGAUCAGACCGGACCGAGGGUUGCAGCAGCAGCAUCGACAGCUCGCAGGGGGAAUCGAGCCGAUCCUCAGCUUGCACAUUCUACCUCUUCGACCGGCUGAGUGCCUGUAUGCCUAUUUUGUUGGUUGGCUUAGGCAUAGGGAGUUCAUUCCAUGUCUAAGCCCCAACCGGAUCGAGGGUUGUGGCAGUGGGACCGACAGCACACAGAGGGGGACCGGACCGAUCCCUAGCUUGUGCAUUCUGCCUCUCUGGUGGGCUAAGCGCCCGUACGCUCAUUUCGUGUGUUGACUUAGACAUACGAAGUUCAUCCCAUGUCUAAGCUUACGAAGUUCAUUCCCAGUCUAAGAGUUUGAGCCACGGUGCACAUGCUGGGCUAGGACAGGUGCUGGUGUCGCAUUUUUUUCGCUUGAGGUACCAUCGAGGUACCAGAGAGCCUAACCGACGGCAUUGGGGGUUCCAGCGAUUGGGGGGCCAGGGGGGUGUGCGCACAUGAUCUACCUCUCCGGUCGGCUGAGCGCCCGCACGCUCGUUUUGUGGGUUGGUUUAGACAUACGGAGUUCAUUCCAUGUCUAAGCAUAUGGAGUUCAUUCCCAGGCUAAGAUCAGACCGGAUCGAGGGUUGCAGUAACAGGACCAGUAGCAGGAUCAGCAGCACGCAGGGGGGACCGAGCCAAUCCCCAACUUGCGCAUUCUGCCUCUCCUGUCGGCUGAGCACCUGCACGCUCAUUUCGUGGGUUGGCUUAGGCAUACAGAGUUCAUUCCAUGUCAAAGCCUAAGUCGGACCAAGGGUUGUGGUAGCAGGAACGGCAACAGGAUCGAUAACACGUAGAGGGGGAUCGGGCUGAUCCCCGGCUUGCGCAUUAUGCCUCUCCGGUCGACUGAGCAUCUGCACACUAAUUUCAUGGGUUGACAUAGGCAUACGGAGUUCAUCCCCAAUCAAGCAUACGAAGUUCAUUCCCAGUCUAAGAUCAAACUGGACUGAGGGUUGUGGCAACAGGAUCGGUAGCACGCUAGGGGGAUCGGGUCGAUUCCUGGCUUGCGCAUUCUACCUCUCCGACCGACUGAGUGCUCGAAUGCCCGUUUCAUGGGUUGGCUUAGGCAUAGGUAGUUCAUUCCAUGUCUAAGCCCUAGUCGGACCGAGGGUUGUGGCAGUGGGAUCGGUAGCACGCAGAGGGGGAUCGAACCGAUCCCCAGCUUGCGCAUUAUGCCUCUCUGGCCAGCUCAGCGCCCGAACGCUCAUUUCAUGGGUUGACUUAGGCAUACGGAGUUCAUUCCCAUUCUAAGAUCGGACCGGACCGAAGGUUGCGGCAGCAGGAUCGACAGCACGCAAGGGGGGACCAGAUCGGUCCUCGGUUUACGCAUUCUGCCUCUCCAGUAGGCUGAGCAUCCGUACGCUCAUUUCGUGGGUUGGCUUAGGCAUACAGAGUUCAUUCCAUGUCUAAGCAUACGGAGUUCAUUCCUAGUCUAAGAUCGGACCAGACCGAGGGUUACGGCAGCAGGACCAAUAGCAGGAUCGACAGCACGCAGGGGGCGACUGGGCCGAUCCCCGGCAUGCGCAUUCUGCCUCUCCGGUCAGCCUCUGCGGUUGGUUGAGCGCCCGCACGCUCAUUUCAUGGGUUGACUUAGGCAUACGGAGUUCAUCCCCAGUCUAAGCACACGGAGUUCAUUCCUAGUCUAAGAUCAGACUGGAUCGAGGGUUGCGACAGCAGGAUCGACAGGACACAGGAGGGAGGGGGUUGAUCCUCGACUUGCGCAUUCUGCCUCUCUGGCUAGCUGAGCGCCCGGACGUCCGUUUCUUGGGUUGGCUUAGCCAUAGCGAGUUCCAUCCAUGUCUAAGUCCCAAUCGGACCGAGGGUUGCGGCAGCGGGACUGACAGCACACAGAAGGGGACUAAGCCAAUCCCCGACUUGUGCUUCUACCUCUCCAGUCGGCUGAGUGCCCGCAAGCUCGUUUCGUGGGUGGGCUUAGGCAUAUGGAGUUCAUUCCAUGUCUAAGCGUAUGAAGUUCAUUCCCAGUCUAAGAGUUUGAGCCACGGUGUCACAUUUUUUUCGUCCGAGGCACCAUCACUGGAGCAUCAUCGGAGUAUCACCCGAGAGCCUAAUCGACGGCAUUUGGGGUUCCGACGAUUGGGGGGCCCGAAGGGGGUGUGCGCACAUGAUGUGUGAUGGGUGCUGGUACUUGGCCCUUAUAUUGGCCCCCUAUCCCUCAUCAAACCUUGAGAACUCACACCCUUUUAAAAAGUAUUUGAGAUUCUAUAGGUUUGCUACCAGUAGCCAUUACAGUGUUUGAAAUGGGGACACUUUUUUCAAACGGUCACAAAAUCUUCUCCACUCCGAGUUUCUUGCUGAAUUAUUUUAUGCAUGCCAACAAAAAUACAAGGAUCACCUCUACCAAAUUUGGGGACAAAACUCUUUCUAAAAAAAUUUUAAAAAAUCCUAAACCGUAAAAAGUUUCAAAAAUCAUGAAAAAUAAAAAACGGGUCAUCUUGCCACAAAACUUCACAUGAAGGCUUAGGGGACCAUUGUAUGAAUUUAGAUGCCAUAAAAAUGGCAUUGGCACGGCAGAAAUAUGAAGAUGUGCUUGAACCCACCUACCACCAGUUCGAUCCCCGGCUUGCGCAUCCUGCCUCUCUGGUCGGCUAAACGUCCGCACGCUCAUUUCAUGGGUUGGCUUAGGCAUACGGAGUUCAUCCCCAGUCUAAGCAAAUAGAGUUCAUUCCUAUUCUAAGAUCAGACCGGAGCGAGGGUUAUGGUAGUAGGAUCGACAGCACGCAAGGGGGACCGAGCCAAACCAUGGCUUGCAUAUUCUGCCUCUCCGAUCGGCUGAGCGCCCACAUGCUCCUAUCGUGGGUUGGCUUAGGCAUAGGGAGUUCAUUCCAUGUCUACACCCCAGCUAGACCGAGGGCUGUGGCAGCGAGACUGGCAUCACGCAGAGGGGGAUCGAGCUGAUCCCCGGCUUGCGCAUUAUGCCUCUCCGGCCGGCUCAGCACCCGCACACUCAUUUUGUGGGUUGACUUAGGCAUACGGAGUUCAUUCCAAGUCUAAGAUUGAAUUUAACUGAGGGUUACGGCAGCAGGAUCGACAGCACACAGGUGGGGACCAGGCUAAUCCCUGGCUUGCUCAUUCUGCCUCUCCGACCGGCUAAGCACCCGUACGUUCAAUUCGUGGCCUGGCUUAGGCAUACGGAGUUCAUUCCAUGUUUAAGCAUACGGAGUUCAUUCCCAGUCUAAGAUCAGAUCGUACCGAGGGUUGCGAGAGCAGGACCAGCCGUAGGAUAGGCAGUACGCAGGGGGGACCGGGCCGAUCCCCAGCUUGCGCAUCUGCCUUUCCGACCAGCUGAGCGCCUGCACGCUCGUUUUGGGGUUGACUUAGGCAUACGGAGUUCAUCCCUAGUCUAAGCAUACGGAGUUCAUUCCCAGUCUAAGAUCAGACUGGAUCGAGAGUUGCGGCAACAGGAUUGGCAGCACGCAGGGGGGCCAGGCCGAUCCCCGACUUACGUAUUCUGCCUUUCCGACCGACUGAGCACCCGCACGCCCAUUUCGUGGGUUGGCUUAGGCAUAGGGAGUUCAUUACAUGUCUAAGCCCCAGUCGGAUCGAGGGUUGUGGUAUCAGGAUCGGUAGCACGUAGAGGGGGACCGAGCUGAUCCCCGACUUGUGCAUUCUACCUCUCUGACCGGUUGAGUGCCCGCACGCUCGUUUCGUGGGUUGGCUUAGGCAUACGGAGUUCAUUCCAUGUCUAAGCAUACAGAGUUCAUUCCAGUCUAAGAGUUUGAGCCAUGGUGCACAUGCUGAUUUCGGGCCUGUACUGGUGCCAUAUUUUUUUCACACGAGGCACCAUCGUUGGAGCAUCGCCGGAAAGCCUAACCGGUGGUAUUAGGGGUUUCGGUGAUUUGGGGGGGUCGAGGGGUGUGCGUACAUGAUGUGCGAUGGGUGCUGGUAGUUGGCCCUUAUAUUGGCCCCCUAUCCCUCAUCAAACCUCGAGAACCCACACCCCUUAAAGUGCGUUUGAGAUUUUAUAGGUUUGCUGCCAGUAGCCAUUAAAGUGUUUGAAAUGAGGACAUUUUUUUCAAACUAUCACAAAAUCUUUUCCACUUCGAGUUUUUAGCUGAAUUGUUUUGGGCAUGCCAAAAAAAAUACAAGGAUCACCUCUACCAAAUUUGGGGACAAAAAUCUUUCUAAAAAAAUUUAAAAAAAUCCCGAACCAUAAAAAGUUUUAAAAAUCGUGAAAAAUAGAAAACAGGUCGUCUUGCCACGAAACUUCACAUGAAGGCUUAGGGGACCAUUGUAUGAAUUUACAAGCCAUAAAAAUGGCAUUGGCAUGGCAGAAAUAUAAAGAUGUGCUUGAACCCACCUACCACCCGUUCGAUCCCCGACUUGCGCGUCCUGCCUCUCUGGUCGGCUGAGCGCCCGCACGCUCGUUUAGUGAGUUGACUUAGGCAUACGGAGUUCAUCCCCAGUCUAAGCAUAUGGAGUUCAUUCCCAGUCUAAGAUUGGACCGGACCAAGGGUUGCAGCAGCAGGAUCGACAACACCCAGGGGGGAUCGGACCGAUCCCUGGCUUACGCAUUCUGCCUCUCCGGCUGACUGACCGCCCGCACGCCUGUUUCGUGGGUUGGCUUAGGCAUAGGGAGUUAAUUCAAUGUCUAAGCCCCAGCCGGAUCGAGGGUUGUGGCAGCGAGACCGGUAGCACGCAGAGGGGGACCAGACUGAUCCUCGGUUUCCGUAUUAUGCCUCUCGGGCUUGCUCAAUGCCCACACGCUCGUUUCAUGGGUUGACUUUGGCAUACGGAGUUCAUUCCCAAUCUAAGAUCAGACUGGACCGAGGGUUGUGGCAGCAGGAUCGACAGCACGUAAGGGGGAUCGGGUCGAUCCUCGACUUGCACAUUCUGCCUCUCCGACCGACUGAGCACCUGCAUGCUCGUUUCGUGGGUUGGCUUAGGCAUACGGAGUUCAUUCCAUGUCUAAGCAUAUGGAGUUCAUUCCCAGUCUAAGAUCAGACCGGACCGAGGGUUGCGACAGCAGGUCCAGCACAGGAUCGACAGCACGCCGGGGGGAUCGGGCUGAUCCACAACUUGCACAUUCUGCCUCUCCGGCCGGUUGAGCACCCGCCCACUCAUUUCAUGGGUUGGCUUAGGCAUACAAAGUUCAUUCCAUGUCUAAGCCCCAAUCGGACCGAGGGUUAUGGCAGCAAGAUCAGCAGCGGGAUCGAUAUUACGCAGAGGGGGAUCGAGCUGAUCCUCGGCUUGCGCAUUAUGCCUUUUCGGCCAGCCUCUCUUGCUGGUUGAGUGCCCGCACGCUCGUUUUAUGGGCUGACUUAGGCAUACGGAGUUCAUCCCCAGUUUAAACAUACGGAGUUCAUUCCAGUCUAAGAUCAGAUCGGAUCGAAGGUUGUGGCAACUGGACCAGUAGUAAGAUCGGUAGCACGCAAGGGGGCCGGGCCGAUCCCUGGCUUGUGCAUUCUGCCUCUCUGGCCGACUGAGCACCCACACGCUCGUUUUGUGGGUUGGCUUAGGCAUACGGAGUUCAUUCCAUGUCUAAGCAUACGGAGUUCAUUCCCAGUCUAAGAUUUUGAGUCACGGUGCACAUGCUGGGCUCGGGCAUGUGCUAGUGUCACUUUUUUUUGGCUCGGGGCACCAUCGACGGAGCAUCGCCAGAGCAUCACCGGAGAGCCUAACCGACGGCAUUAAAGGUUUCGACGAUUGGGGGGUCGGGGGUGUGUACACAUGAUGUGCGAUGGGUGCUGGUUCUUGUGUCACGAGCUCUGACCUUAAACUUAGAAACUGUAUGGCCUUAGGCUUGGAAUCUCCUCACUUAUGCAUAAGUCAGCUUAAAACACAAGCGUAUGGGCACUAGAACAACAGGAAGGGCUGAUUACACAAGUUAAAGAGAAACAGGAUAAGAAGGCAGAAUUCUGGAAAUGCUCUUGUAUUCACUAAAACGGAAGUGUUUGAUGGUGUACAAAUGAGGGAGGUCCAGCCCUCUAUUUAUAGUUGAGGCUCCAGCUUACACUUAAUGGCAAUAUCCCUAGAAUAAAGGCUAAAAUCAUGGGAUUAUAUAGAUUACAAUCAAUCAGGAUGCUAACUCCUGAUUUUCAGGGUUAACCAAAUCUGCCAGGAUGCUGCUGCUGAUCCUGCCUACUUCCAAAAGCUUCCUUUGCGUGUCUAGCACCUUAGGCCCUUCUGGAUGUGUUACGGGCAGCUUGUAUGCUAGGCCUUGGUCUUAUGGGCUAGCCUGCAAGUUGGGUGGGCGUUCAGAACUCAUUUGCUAGGCUUUGCAUGUAGAUACCCGCCAGCACGCCUGGUCUACGAGCCUCAACCUCUAGCUCACCUGUUGGUGCACCUGAUUGCAUAACACCCUCAUUGUGUCUUCUGCAUGGUACUGCCUAAUUUGGUCCCUGAACUGCCAUAAGUCAUCUGCUGGUUCCCAGCUCGCCUCACUGUCUGAAAGUCCCUUCUAGCACACCAAGUACUCUUGUCUUGGAUAAUAGUUCUUUCGUCUCACCUCCUGAUCAGCUAUGAUGUUGUGGACCUCCUUCUCAUAUGAGGCCCUUGCUCCCAAUGGCGCACGCUUUGACUCUGCCCGUCCUGGAUCUCCCUCAUCCUCAUGGAACGGCUUGAGCAUGCUCACAUGGAACACCAGGUGUACCUUCGGCUUGGGUGGCAUAUCCAGCUUGUAGGCAACCUUGCCUACCCUCUUGACUACUCGAAAAGGUCCCUCAUACCUCCAAACUAGGCCUUUGUGCAGCCCCCUAUGGUGCACAAUGGGAUGCAGCUUCACCAACACCAAGUUUCCAACCUAGAACUCCACGUCCCGCCUAUUCUAGUCUGCCCACUUCUUUGACCUCUUGGCCGUCUUGUGUAGACAAACUCUGGCCAAGUCAGUUUGCUCCUGCCAUGCCUUGGCAAACUUGUAUGUUGCUGGAUUCAGCCCUGUAUAACCUGCAGCAAUCGAACCGGGUGUUAGUUGUUGUUGCCCUGUCACAACCUCAAAUGGGCUCUGGUUCGUUGCCUCGCUCUUUUGCAAGUUGUAGGAAAAUUGUGCAAUAUCUAGCAGCUUUGGCCAGUCCCUUUGUGUGGCACUCACAUAGUGCCUGAGAUAGACCUCUAAUAGUCCAUUCACUCGUUCUGUCUGCCCAUCGGUCUGUGGAUGCAUGCUGGUGGAAAAGUUCAAGUCUGACCCUAACAGCUUGAACAACUCAGUCCAGAACCUGCCCGUGAAAUGCCCGUCUCGAUCACUAAUAAUGGUCCUCGGCACUUCCUAGUACUUAACCAUGUUCUUCAGGAACAAUCGAGCUGCCUCCUCGGCUGUGCACUCCUUGGUUGCUGGAAUGAAGAUUCCAUACUUGGAAAACCUGUCCACCACUACCAUGAUGCUUUUAAACCCUUUUGCUUUGGGUAGACUGACUAUAAAGUCUAGAGAAACACUCUCCCAUGGUCACUCUGGCACUGGCAAUGGCUCCAAGAGACCACCUGGUUUCUUGAGCUCCACCUUGUCCUAUUGGCACACAAGACAAGUCUUCACAUAGGCCUCCACAUCGUCCCUCAUGUGCGGCCAGUAGUAUCGAUCCUCGAUCAACACCAAGGUACGACUCACUCCGGGGUGUCCAGCCCAUCUUGAAUCAUGGCAUUCUUGCAAAACUUCCUUGCAGAGCUUUUCGUGCUGUGGUACAAAUAGUCUACUUCCCCUGGUGUACAGUAAGCCAUCCUGUAACCAAAACUGCCUAGUCUUACCUUGCUGGGCGUACUCCAUCAAAGCCUUGGCUAUAGGAUCAUGUGCAAGUCCCUCUUUGAUGGGCGGCACCAGUGACCCCUCUAGUUGGCUAAUGGUAGCAAGGUUAGCCUUCCUGCUCAGGGCGUCUGCCACUAGGUUCACCCAUCCCUGCUUGUACUGCAUCUGGAAAUCAAAUUUCGCAAGAAAAUCUUACCAUCUCGCCUACUUGGGGGAUAGCUUCUUCUGCGUCUGGAAGUAGCUGGUCGUCACAUUGUCCAUCUUAACCAUGAACCUCGACCCCAACAGGUAAUGGUGCCAAGUGUGUAAGCAGUGCACCACUACAGUCAUCUCCUUCUCUUGGACCUUGUACUUGCGCUCAGUCUCGUUCAGCUUCCUGCUCUUGAACAUGACUGGACGUCCCUCCUGCAUCAACAAGCCCCCUAUGGCAAAGUCUGAUGCAUCUGUAUGCACCUCAUAUGGCUUGGUAUGGUCUGGCAAGGGUAAGACUGGCUCUUCGAUCACAGCCUGCUUCAACCUGUCAAAGGCUUCCUGGCACCCUGCGCUCCACUCCCAUGCUUUCCCUUUCUUGAGCAAGUCAGUCAAUGGCGUGGCUAUUGCUGAGUGACCUUUGAUGAAGCGCUUGUAGUAGUUGACCAGCCCAAGGAAUGAUCUCAACUCAGUGACCUUGGCUGGCGGUUGCCACUCCAAGAUGGCAUGUAUCUUACCUUCAUCCAUGCGUAUCUUGCCACUUCCCACUAUGUGGCCAAGGAACAGGAUCUCCAGCUAGGCGAAUGAGCACUUCUCCCUCUUGACAAAUAGCUUGUGCACUCGCAACACCUCGAACACCUGUCUCAAGUGGUCUACAUGCUCUCCCAAAGUCUGGCUGUAGAUCACAAUGUCAUCCAAAUAAACCACAACAAAUUGAUCAAGGAAUGACUGAAGUACCUUGUUCAUAAGGGUGCAGAAUGUUGCUAGGGCGUUCGUAAGUCUGAAAGGCAUCACCAAGAACUCAUACGAACCAUACCAAGUGACACAUGCUGUCUUUGGCUCAUCUCCUUCCGUGAUCCUGACUUGAUAGUAGCCUGACCUCAAAUCCAGCUUGGUGAACCACCUUACGCUCCCAAGUUGGUCGAAUAAGUCUGCAAUGAGUGGGAUGGGGUACUUGUUCUUGAUGGUUAGCUUGUUCAAAGCCCGGUAGUCUAUGCACAGUCACAACGACCCAUCAUGCUUGCGCUAAAAUAGAAUUGGUGCACCAUAGGGUGCCUUCGAUGGCCUGAUGAAACCAGCAUCAACUAACUCUUUGAGCUGCUUCCUCAACUCCUCCAACUCUGGUGGAGACAUUAGGUAAGGGGCUCUAGCUGGUGGCUUGGCCUCGGACACUAGCUCGAUCUUAUGGUCCACCUCCCUCUUAGGUGGUCGCUUGCUAGGUAGCUUUACGGGCAUCACAUCACUUAAGGUCUUUGGCACCUUUAGCACCUCCAAGGGUGACUCGAUCUCCUUCUCCUUUGGCUCAUCAUAUUUCAGGGCUGCCAAGAAGGUGUCUUCUUGUCUGCUUAUCGCCUUAGCAAAUUGGAUGGCUGACACCACCCGCAACCCAACUCCAGACCCUCUCCUCAAUGGCACUAGGCAUUGGCACCGUGCAUCCAAGAUGCAAACACAAUCGACAAAAGGCACAAAGAGGGCAUUAAUCCGAACAAAGAAAUCCAACCCAAUCACAAACUCAUAGUCGUCAAGGGUAUUACCUCAAUGGUCUCCUUGCCUUUCUAGUUUCCAAGCUGUAACUCCACUCCCCGCGCUACUCCAUUGGCUGGAACUUCCUUGGAGUUCACCGUUUUGAUGGUACCAGUCCUUUUUUGUACCUUUAGUCUGACCUUUCGAGCUCUAUCACCUGAAAUAAAAAGAUGUGAGGCACCAUGUCCACCAGUGCACUCACCUUCUGACCCGUAACCAUCAGAUCCGUAAACAUCAAGCCCUUUGGCUUGCUACUCCCCUUACUCUGGACAGCAUUACUACUCCUCAUCAGACUCCUUGUCUACAGCAGCCAGCUUACCCUUCUGUGGGUAAUUGCACGCUAUGUGGCUCCCUCCACAUAGGUAGCAUGCUAGUGGCUCUCGGUCCCCUUUUGCUUUCCACUUGCUUGCUGGUGGCUUCCUCUCGCCAUCCUUGGUUGAAUGGUCUCAGUCUCUAUCCUUGGACUCCCGGCCAUGGUCCUUCCCCUUGGACUGCUUCUUUUGAUCCCUAUCAUCCCUGUCCUUACCCUUGGGCUUGGUAGAUUCAAACUUGUUCAGAGGCUUGAACUCUAUCAAGGCCUCGACAGUAGUCAUGGCUUUAGCCAAGUCAUGAACUCCUCUCCUUUGUAGCUCAUGCUUCACCCACGGCUUCAGCCCAUCCAUGAAAGCAAAUAAGGAGUCCUUCUCACCUAGAUCCGAGAUCUAUAGCAUCAGUUCAGAGAAUUUCUAGACAUACUCCCUUAUGUCCCCUUGCUGGCUCAGCCUGCAUAACUUUGCCCGCCUCAUCAUCGACAUACUCUGGGUAAAAUUAUUCUCUGAACUCCUUUUGGAACUCUGCCCAGGUUCCAAUCUUGGUGCUCCCAUGCCUGACAUCAUCACACCUAUGCCUCUACCACAAUAAGGCUACAUCAGUGAGAUACAUACAGCGGUGCUUACCUUUAUCGCCUCAUCUUGCAUGCCCAUGGCCUGGAAGUACUGCUCCAUACCCUAAAGGUAGUUAUCUACUUCCUUGGCUGCCCUAGUCCCCUUGAACUCCUUAGGCUUGGGGACAUCCAAUCUGGACUUGGACACUCCAGCAAACAGCCAUUCCUAAUGGCAGUCUUGCAAGCAAUGAGCUCACUGGUAAGCUUCUCCAUCCGCUGGCGCAUGGCCUCCAUGCCAUCGUGCAAGGUCAGCACUUCAGCCUCCAAGGUCUGAUUCUUUUGGGUGAACACGUCCAAGCCUUUGUUGAGAGCAGCUUGCAGCUCACUUUGGAUCCCUCCCCUAUGGAGUCUAGCGAUGCAAUGUGAGUCUCUACCCCCUCAAGCUUCUCCUCCAUGUGCCCAUGGUCACCUCCACCUUGGCCACCUACCGUCCAUGGUAGACCAGAUAUCUCUAGAACUAGCUUUCCUCCCUCUUCCACACCCAUGCUCUGGGCCUCUGGUUGUUGGUUAGCAGCGUCACUUUGGGAUGCCAUCUCCUCUAACCUGCACAACACAAACACGUAGAAUCGAACUUGCUCUGAUACCAACUGUCACAGGCUCUGACCUUAGACUCAGAAACCGUGUGGCCUUAGGCUUGGAAUCUCCUCCUUUAAGCCUAAGUCAGCCUAAAACACAAGCGUACGAGCACUAGAACAACAGGAAGGGCUGAUUACGCAAGUUAAAGAGAAACAGGAUAAGAAGGUAGAAUUCUAGAAAUGCUCUUGUAUUCACUGAAAUAGAAGUGUUUGAUGGUGUACAAAUGAGGGAGGAGCAGCCCUCUAUUUAUAGUUAAGGCUCCAGCUUACACUUAAUGGCAAUAUCCCUAGAAUAAAGGCUAAAAUCAUGGGAUUAUAUAGAUUAUAAUCAAUCAGGAUGCUAACUCCUGAUUUUCAGGGUCAACCAAAUCUGCCUGGAUGCUGCUGCUGAUCCUGCCUGCUUCCAAAAGCUUCCCUUGCAAGUCCAGCACCUUGGGCCCUUCUGGAUGUGGUGCAGGCAGCUUGUAUGCCAGGCCUUGGUCUCACGGGCUGGCCUGCAAGUUGGGCGGGCAUUCUGAACUCAUUCGCUAGGCUUUGCGUGUAGAUACCCGCCAGCACGCCUGGUCUGUGGGCCUCAACCUCUGGCUCUCCUGCUGGUGCACCUGAUGUGCCUGGCGCCCACCCUGGGCAUGACACUUGGCCCUUAUAUUGGCCCCCUAUCCCUCAUCAAACCUCGAGAACUCACACCCCCUUAAAGAGCAUUUGAGAUUUUAUAGGUUUGCUGCCAGUAGCCAUUAAAGUGUCCAAAAUGGGGACACUUUUUUCAAACGAUCACAAAAUCUUCUCCACUUCGAGUUUUUAGCUCAAGUGUUUUGUGCAUGCCAACAAAAAUACAAGGAUCACCUCUACCAAUUUGGGGACAAAACUCUUUCUAAAAAAUUUUUAAAAAAUCUCGAACCGCAAAAUGUUUCAAAAAUCGUGAAAAAUAGAAAACGGGUCGUCUUGCCACGAAACUUCACAUGAAGGCUUAGGGGACCAUUAUAUCAAUUUACAAGUCAUAAAAAUGGCAUUGGCAUGGCAGAAAUAUGAAGAUGUGCUUGAACCCACCUACCACCCGUUCGAUCCCUAGCUUACGCAACCUGCCUCUCUGGUCGGCUGAGCGCCCGCACGCUCGUUUUAUGGGUUGACUUAGGCAUACGGAGUUCAUCCCCAGUCUAAGCAUAUGGAGUUCAUUCCCAGUCUAAGAUCGAACUGGAUCGAGGGUUGUGGUAGUAGGAUCGACAGCACGCAGGGGGGAUCGGGCCAAUCCCCAGCUUGCACAUUUUGCCUUUCCGGUCGGCUGAGCACCCGUACGCGUGUUUCGUGGGUUGGCUUAGGCAUAAGGAGUUCAUUCCAUGUCUAAGCCCCAGCCGGACCAAGGGUUGUGGCAGCGGGACUGGCAGCACGCAGAGGGGGACCAGGCCAAUCCCUGGUUUGCGCGUUAUGCCUCCCCGGUCGGCUCAAUGCUUGCACAUUCAUUUCAUGGGUUGACUUAGGCAUACAGAGUUCACUCCCAAUCUAAGAUCUGAUCGGACUGAGGGUUGUGAUAGCAGGAUCGACAGCACGUAGGGGGGGACCGGGUCGAUCCCUGGCUUGCGCAUUUUGCCUCUCCGGCCGGCCGUAAGCUCGUUUCAUGGGUUGGCUUAGGCAUACGGAGUUCAUUCCAUGUCUAAGCAUACGAAGUUCAUUCCCAAUCUAAGAUUGGACCGGAUUGAGGGUUGCAGCAGUAGGACUAGUAGCAGGAUCGGCAACACGAAGGGGGGAUCGGGCCGAUCCUCGAUUUGCACAUUCUGCCUCUCUGACCGACUGAGCACCCGCACGCUCGUUUCGUGGGUUGACUUAGGCAUACGGAGUUCAUCCCCAGUCUAAGCAUACGGAGUUCAUUCCCAGUCUAAGAUCAGAUCGAACCGAGGGUUACGACAGCAGGAUCGACAGCACGUAGGGGGGACCAGGCCGAUCCCCGGCUUAUGCAUUCUGCCUCUCCGAUCGGCUGAGCACCUGCACGCCCAUUUCAUGGGUUCGCUUAGGCAUAGGGAGUUCAUUCCAUGUCUAAGCCCCAGCCAGACCGAGGAUGUGGCAGUGGGACUGACAGCAUGCAGAGGGGGAUCGGGUCGAUCCCCAGCUUGUGCAUUAUGCCUCUUCGGCCUGCUUAGCGCCUGUACGCUCAUUUCGUUUGUGCAUGCCAACGAAAUGCAAGGACAACCUCUAACAAAUUUGGGGACAAAAAUCUUUCUAAAAAAAUUUUUAAAAAUCCCGAACCGAAAAAAGUUUCAAAAAUCAUGAAAAAUAGAAAAUGAGUCGUCUUGCCACGAAACUUCACAUGAAGGCUUAGGGGACCAUUGCAUGAAUUUACGAGCCAUAAAAAUGGCAUUGGCACGGAAGAAAUAUGAAGAUGUGCUUGAACCCACCUACCACCCAUUCGAUCCCCGGCUGCGCAUCCUGCCUCUUUGGUCAGCUGAGCGCCUGCACGCUCAUUUCGUGGGUUGACCUAGGCAUACGGAGUUCAUCCCAGUCUAAGCAUAUGGAGUUCAUUCCAGUCUAAGAUUUUGAGCCACGGUGCACAUACUGGGCUAGGGCUUGUGCUGCUGCCACUUUUUUUUCACCCGGGGCACCAUCGCCAGAGCGUCGCCGGAGCAUCGCCGGAGAGCCUAACCAGUAGCAUUAGGGGUCCGACGAUUGGGGGGGUCGGGGGGGUGCGCACAUGAUGUGCAUGGGUGCUGGGUACUUGGCCUUAUAUGGCCCCCUAUCCCUCAUCAAACCUCGAGAACUCAGCACCCCCUUAAAAGAUGCAUUUGAGAUUUAUAGGUUUGCUGCCAAUAGCCAUUAAAGUGUCUGAAAUGGGGACACUUUUUUCAACGGUCACAAAAUCUUUUCCACAUCGAGUUUUUAGCUAAAUAUUUUUGUGCAAUGCCAAAAAAAUACAAGAAUCACCUCUAACAAAUUUGGAUACAAACGCUUUCCUAAAAAAAUUUUAAAAAUCCCCAACCGUAAAAUGUUUUGAAAAUAAUGAAAAAUAGAAAACUGUUCGUCUUGCCACGAAACUUCACAUGAAGGCUUAGGGGACCAUUGUAUGAAUUUACAAGCCAUAAAAAUGGCAUUGGCACGGUAGAAAUAUGAAGAUGUGCUUGAACCCACCUACCACUCGCUCGAUCCCCGACUUACGCAUCCUGCCUCUUUGGCCAGCUGAGCCCCCGCACGCUCGUUUUAUGGGUUGACUUAGGCAUAUAGAGUUCAUCCCCAGUCUAAGCAUACGCAGUUCAUUCCCAGUCUAAGAUCGGACCAGACCAAGGGUUGUGAUAGCAGGAUGGGUAGCACGUAGGGGGGACCGAACCGAUCCCCGGCUUGCGUAUUCUGCCUCUCCGACCGGCUGAGUGCCUGCACGCCCGUUUAGUGGGUUAGCUUAGGCAUAAGGAGUUCAUUCUAUGUCUAAGCCCCAGCGGGACCAAGGGUUGUGGCAGCAGGACCGACAUUUCGUAGAGGGGGACCGAUCCAGUCCCCAGCUUGCGCAUUAUGCCUCUCCGGCCGGCUCAGCGCUGCAGGCUCAUUUCGUGGGUUGACCUAGGCAUACGGAGUUCAUUCCCAUUCUAAGAUUAGACCAGAUCGAGGGUUGCGGUAGCAAGAUUGAAAGCACACAGGGGGAUCGGGUCGGUCCCCGGCUUACGCAUUCUGCCUUUGCGACCGGCUGAGCACCCGCACGUUUGUUUCGUGGGUUGGAUUAGGCAUACGGAGUUCAUUCCAUGUCUAAGCAUAUGGAGUUCAUUCCUAGUCUAAGAUGGGAUCGGAUCGAGGGUUGUGGCAAAAGUACUAGCAGCAGGAUCGGCAGCACGCAGGGGGGUACCGGUCAAUCCCCAUCUUGUGCAUUCUGCCUCUGCAGCCGGUUGAGCGCCCGAACGCCCAUUUCGUGGGUUGGCUUAGGCAUAGGGAGUUCAUUCCAUGUCUAAGCCCCAACCGGACCAAGGGUUGUGGUAGCGGGACCGACAGCACGCAGAGGGGGACUGGGCUGAUCCCCGGCUUGUGCAUUAUGCCUCUUCGGCAGGCUUAGCACUCACACGCUCAUUUCAUGGGUUGACUUAUGCGUACGAAGUUCAUUCCCAGUGUAAGAUCUAACCAGAUCGAGGGUUGCGAUAGUAUAAACGAUAGCAUGCAAUGGGGGAUCGGGUCAAUCCCCGGCUUACGCAUUCUACCUCUCCGACCGACUGAGUGCCCGCACGCUCGUUUCAUGGGUUAGCUUAGGCAUACGGAGUUCAUUACAUGUCUAAGCAUAUGGAGUUCAUUCCCAAUCUAAGAUUGGAUCGGAUCGAGGGUUGCAGCAGUAGGAUCUGCAGCUCGCAAGGGGGGACCGAGCCUAUCCCCGACUUGUGCAUUCUGCCUCUUCGACCGACUGAGCUCCCGCACGCCCAUUUCAUGGGUUGGCUUAGGCAUAGGGAGUUCAUUCCAUGUCUAAGCCCAAGCUGGACCAAGGGUUGUGGCAACGGGACCGGCAGCAUGUAGAGGUGGACCGGGCCGAUCCCCGACUUGCGCAUUAUGCCUUUUCGAUCGGCUCAGCGCCCGCACCCUCGUUUCGUGGGUUGACUUAUGCAUACGGAGUUCAUUCCCAGUCUAAGAUCAGACCAGACUGAGGGUUGCGGCAGCAAGAUAGACAACAUGCAGGGGGACCAAGCCGAUCCCCGACUUGCGCAUUUUGCCUCUCCGGCCGGCUGAGCGUCCGCACGCUCGUUUCGUGGGUUUGCUUAGGCAUACAGAGUUCAUUCCAUGUCUAAGCAUACAGAGUUCAUUCCCAGCCUAAGAUUUCGAGCCACAGUGCACAUGCUGGGCUCGGGCAUGUGCUAAAGCCAAAUAUUUUUCACCCGGGGCACCAUCGUCGGAGCAUCUCCGUAGCAUCGCCGGAGAGCCUAACCAGUGGCAUUGGGGGUUCCAGUGAUUGGGGGGGCCGGGGGGUGUGCGCACAUGAUGUGUGAUUGGUGCUGGUACUUGGCCCUUAUAUUGGCCCCCUAUCCCUCAUCAAACCUCAAGAACUCACACCCCCUUAAAGAGCAUUUGAGAUUUUAUAGGUUUGCUGCCAGUAGCCAUUAAAGUGUUUGAAAUGGGGACACUUUUUUCAAACGGUCACAAAUCUUCUCCACUUUGAGUUUUUUGCUGAAUUUUUUUGUGCAUGCCAAAAAGAAUACAGGGAUCACCUCUACCAAAUUUGGAGAAAAAACUCUUUCUAAAAAAAUUUUAAAAAAUCUCGAACCGCAAAAAGUUUCAAAAAUCAUAAAAAAUAAAAAACAGGUCGUCUUGCCACGAAACUUCACAUGAAGGCUUAGGGGACCAUUGUAUGAAUUUAAAAGCCAUAAAAAUGGCAUUGGCAUGGCAGAAAUAUGAAGACAUGCUUGAACCCACCUACCACCCUUUCGAUCCCCGGCUUGCGCAUCCUGUCUCUCUGGUCGGCUGAGCGCCUGCAUGCUCAUUUCGUGGGUUGACUUAGGCAUACGGAGUUCAUCCCCAGUCUAAGCAUACGGAGUUCAUUCUUAGUCUAAGAUCAGACCGGAUCGAGGGUUGCGACAGCAGGAUCGACAGCACGCAAGAGGGACCGGACUGAUCCCCAGCUUACGCAUUCUGCCUCUCAGACCGACUGAGCGCCUGAACGCCCGUUUCGUGGGUUGGCUUAGGCAUAGGAAGUUCAUUCCAUGUCUAAGCCCCAGUUGGACUGAGGGUUGUGGCAGCGGGACCAGCAGCACACAGAGGGGGACUGAGUCGAUCCCCGGCUUGCGUAUUAUGCCUCUUCGACCGGCUCAGCACCCGCACGCUCAUUUUGAGGGUUGACCUAGGCAUACGGAGUUCAUUCCCAGUCUAAGAUCAGCCUAGACUGAGGGUUGCAGUAGCAGGAUCGAUUGGACGUAGGGGGAAUCGGGUCGAUCCCCGGCUUGCGCAUUCUGCCUCUCCGAUCGACUGAACGCCCGAACGCUCUUUUCAUGGGUUGGCUUAGGCAUACAGAGUUCAUUCCAUGGCUAAGCAUACAGAGUUCAUUCCCAGUCUAAGAUCAGACCAGAUCGAGGGUUGUGAUAGCAGGACUAGCAACAGGAUCGACAGCACGCAUAGGGGAACGGGCCGAUCCCCAGCUUGCACAUUCUGCCUCUUCGACUGGCUAAGCGCCUGCACGCUCAUUUUAUGGGUUGGCUUAGGCAUACGGAGUUCAUUCCAUGUCUAAGCCCUAACCAGAUCGAGGGUUAUGGCAGCAGGACCGAUAGCGGGAUCGGCAGCACGUAGAAAGGGGCCGGGCAUUUCCUCGGCUUACGUAUUCUGCCUCUUCAGUCGGUUGAGCACCCGAAUGCUCAUUUCAUGGGUUGGCUUAGGCAUAGAAGUUCAUUCCAUGUCUAUGCCCCAGCCGAACCGAGGGUUGGAUAGAGACCGCAGCGGGAUCAGCAGCAUACAGAGCACUGGGUUGAUCCUGACUUUCGCAUAGCCUCUCCGAUCGACUGAGGCACAGCAUGCUCGUUCAUGGGUUGAAUUAGGAAACGAGUUAUCCCUAUUGAAGCAUACGGAGUUCAUUCCCAGUCCAUGAUCAGACAGACAAGAGGCGUUAGCGGGAGUGGAUCCGCACGCCUGGGAUGACGAUCCUGCUGUACGCAUUCUGUGGUGAGGCUGGCUGAGCGGGCAUAAGCCAGUUGGGUUGGCUUGAGGCAUACAGUGUCAGUUCAUGUAUAAGCCCUAGCAGAGCGAGGGUUGUGGCAGAUGGGACCGAAGCCAUCAGAGGGGACAUAGGCCGAUCCCGGCUUGCGCAUUAGCCCUUUCAGUAAGCUAGUGCCCGCACGCUCGUUUCGUGGGUUGACUUUUGCAUACGGAGUUCAUUCCCAGUCCAAGAUUGGAUCGGAUCAAGGGUUGUGGCAGCAGGAUUGACAACACACAGGGGGGGAUCGGGCCGAUCCCCGGCUUGCGCAUUCUACCUUUUCGACCGACUGAGUACCCGCACGCUCGUUUCGUGGGUUGGCUUAGGCAUACGGAGUUCAUUCCAUGUCUAAGCAUACGGAGUUCAUUCUCAGUCUAAGAGUUUGAGCCACGGUGCACAUGCUGGGCUCGGGCAUGUGCUCGUGCCACAUUUUUUCACCCGGGGCAACAUCGUCGGAGCAUCGUCGGAGAGCCUAAUCGGCGGCAUUGAGGGUUCCGGUGAUUGGGGGGGCCGGAGGGUGUACGCAUAUGAUGUGCAAUGGGUGCUGGUACUUGGCCCUUAUAUUGGCCCCCUAUCCCUCAUCAAACCUCAAGAACUCACACCCCAUCAAAGAGCAUUUGAGAUUUUAUAGGUUUGCUGCCAGUAGCCAUUAAAGUGUCUAGAAUGGGCACACUUUUUUCAAAUGGUCACAAAAUCUUCUCCACUUCGAUUUUUUAGAUGAAUUUUUUUAUGCAUGCCAACAAAAAUACAGGGAUCACUUCUACCAAAUUUUAGGACAAAAAUCUUUCUAAAACAAUUUUAAAAAAUCCUGAACCGUAAAAAGUUUCAAAAAUCGUGAAAAAUAGAAAACGGGUCGUCUUGCCAUGAAACUUCACAUGAAGGCUUAGGGGACCAUUGUAUGAAUUUAAAAGCCAUAAAAAUGGCAUUGCCAUGGCAGAAAUAUGAAGAUGUGCUUGAACCCACCUACCACACGUUCAAUCCUCGACUUACGCAUCCUGCCUCUCUGAUCGGUUGAGCGUCCGCACGCUCAUUUCGUGGGUUGACUUAGGCAUACGAAGUUCAUCCCUAGUCUAAGCAUACAGAGUUCAUUCCCAGUCUAAGAUCAGACCGGACCAAUGGUUGCGACCGGGUCGAUCCUCGGCUUACGCAUUCUGCCUCUUCGACCGGUUGAGCACCCGUAAGCCCAUUUCAUGGGUUGGCUUAGGUAUAAGGAGUUCAUUCCAUGUCUAAGCCCUAGCUGGACUGAGGUUUGUGGGAGCAAGACUGGCAGCACACAAAGGGGGACCGGGCCGAUCCGCUACUUGCGCAUUAUGCCUCUCCGAUUGGCUCAGCGCCCUAACGCUCGUUUCAUGGGUUAGCUUAGGCAUAUGGAAUUCAUUCCAUGUUUAAGCAUACAGAGUUCAUUCCCAAUCUAAGAUCAGACCGACAGUAGUGACAGCAGGACCGGUAACAGGAUCGAUAGCAUGCAGGGGGAUCGGGUCGGUCCUCGACUUACGCAUUCUGCCUUUUCGGCUGGCUGAGCGCCCGUACGCUCGUUUCAUGGGUUGGCUUAGGCAUACGGAGUUUAUUCCAUGUCUAAGCAUACGGAGUUCUUUCCCAGUCUAAGAUUGGAUCGGAUCAAGGGUUGUGAUAGUAGGACCAGCAGUAGGAUCGGUAGCACGCAGGAAGGACCGGGUCGAUCCUCGACUUACGUAUUCUACCUCUUCGAUCGGGUGAAUGCCCGUACGCUUGUUUCAUGGGUAGGCUUGGGCAUACGGAGUUCAUUCCAUGUCUAAGCAUACAGAGUUCAUUCCCAGUCUAAGAUCAAAUCAGACCAAGGGUUGCCGCAGCAGGACCAGUAGCAGGAUCGACAGCACGCAGGGGGGGAUCGAGCCAAUCCCCGACUUGCGCAUUCUACCUCUCCGGCCGGCUGAGCACCCGCACUCUUGUUUUAUGGGUUGGCUUAGGUAUACAGAGUUCAUUCCAUGUCUAAGCAUACGGAGUUCAUUCCCAGUCUAAGAUCGGAUCGGACCAAGGGUUACGAUAGCAGGACCAGUAGUAGGAUCGACAGCACGUAGGGGGGAUCAGAUCGAUCCCCAGCUUGUGCAUUCUGCCUCUCCGGUCGACUGAGUGCCUGUACGUUCGUUUCGUGGGUUGGCUUAGGGAUAGGGAGUUCAUUCCAUGUCUAAGCCCCAACCAGACCGAGGGUUGUGGCAGUAGGACCGACAGCGGGAUUGGCAUCACGCGGAGGGUGACCGAGCUGAUCCCCGGCUUGUGCAUUAUGUCUCUCCGAUCGACUGAACACUCGUACGCUCAUUUCAUGGGUUGACUUAGGCAUACGGAGUUCAUCCCCAUUCUAAGCAUAUAGAGUUCAUUCCCAAUCUAGGAUCAGACCGAACCGAGGGUUGCGGUAGCAGGAUCGACAGCAUGCAUGGGGGACUGGACUGAUCCCCGACUUGCGCAUUCUGCCUCUCCGACCGGCUUGAGGCCCGCACGCCGUUUUGAGGGUUGGCUUAGGCAUCGGGAGUUAUCCAUUCCUAAGCCCAGUCAAACUGAAAGGUUGUGGUAGUGGCCUACAGUCACGUAGAAGGGAUCGGGCUGAUCCCCGGCUUAUGCAUAUGCCUCCUGAUCAGCUCAGCGCCCGCACGUCGUUCGUGGGUUGACUUAGGCAAUACAAGUUCAUUCCCAGUCUAAGAUUCGAUAGAGGUGCGCCUAGGUGCAACACGUAGAGGAUGGCCGAUCCUGGUUGCGCAUGCUCUGGCGAACAACACUCAUCUAGGUCGGCUAGAAUGGAAGCAAUCCAUUGCUAAGCUUGGAUUCAACUCCUAAGAUCGACCGAUUGGACGAGCUAGCGCCACGUACUGCUGGAUUGGCCGACCUGCAGCUUCGACGGGCGCACACUCGUUUCGUGGGUUGGCUUAAGCAUACGAAGUUCAUUCCAUGUCUAAGCCUAGUCAGACCGAGGGUUGUGACAGCAUGACUCGUAGUGGGAUCGGUAGCAUGCAGAGGGGGACCGAGUUGAUCCCCGGCUUAUGCAUUAUGUCUCUCCGACCGGCCUCUUCCACCGGCUGAGAGCCCACACGUUCAUUUCGUGGGUUGACUUAGGCAUACGGAGUUCAUCCCUAGUCUAAGCAUGUGGAGCUCAUUCCCAGUCUAAGAUCGGACCGGACCGAGGGUUGCGACAGAAAGAUCGACAGCAUGCAGGGGGGAUCGGGUCGAUCCUCGGCUUACGCAUUCUGCCUCUCCGGUCGGUUGAGCUCCCGCACGCCCGUUUCAUGGGUUGGCUUAGGCAUAGGGAGUUCAUUCCAUGUCUAAGCCCUAGUCGGACCGAGGGUUGUGGUAACAGGAUCGGUAGCACGUAGAGGGGGACCGGGUCGAUCCCUGGCUUGCGUAUUAUGCCUUUUCAGUGGGCUCAGCGCCUGAACGCUUGUUUCAUGGGUUGACUUAGGCAUACAAAGCUCAUUCCCAGUCUAAGAUCAGACGGGACCGAGGGUUGCGAUAGCAGGAUCGAUAGCAUGCAGGGGGGAUCGGGUCGAUCCCCGGCUUGCGUAUUCUGCCUCUCCGGUUGGCUGAGUGCUCGCAUGCUCCUUUCAUGGGUUGGCUUAGGCAUACAGAGUUCAUUCCAUGUCUAAGCAUACGAAGAUCAUUCCCAGUCUAAGAUCAGACCGGAUCGAGGCUUGCAGCAGCAGGAUCGACAGCACGUAGGGGGGACUGAGCCGAUCCUCGGCUUGAGCAUUCUGCCUCUUUAGUCGGCUGAGCGCCCGCACGCUCGUUUCGUGGGUUAGGCAUACAGAUUUCAUCCCCAGUCUAAGCAUACGAAGUUCAUUCCCAGUCUAAGAUUGAACUGGACCGAGGGUUGUAGUAGUAGGAUCGGCAGUACGCAGGGGGGACCGAGCUGAUCCCCAACUUGCGCAUUCUGCCUCUUCGACCGGCUGAGCACCCGCAUGCCCGUUUCGUGGGUUGGCUUAGGCGUAGGGAGUUCAUUCCAUGUCUAAGCCCCAGUCAGACCAAGAGUUGUGGCGACGGGAUCGACAGCAUGUAGAGGGGGAUCGGGUCGAUCCCUGGCUUGCGCAUUCUGCCUCUCCGACUGGCUGAACGCUCGCACACUCAUUUCAUGGGUUGGCUUAGGCAUACGGAGUUCAUUCCUUGUCUAAGCAUACGGAGUUCAUUCCUAGUCUAAGAGUUUGAGCCAUGGUGCAAAUGCUGGGCUCGGGCAUGUGCUGGUGUCACAUUUUUUUCACCCGAGGUACCAUCGCCGGAGCAUCACCGGAUAGCCUAACCGGCGGCAUUGGGGGUUCCGACGAUCGGGGGGCUGGGGGGUGUGCGCAUAUGAUGUGCGAUGGGUGCUGGUACUUGGCCCUUAUAUUGGCCCCCUAUCCCUCAUCAAACCUCAAGAACUCACACCCCCUUAAAGAGCAUUUGGGAUUUUAUAGGUUUGCGGCCAGUAACCAUUAAAGUGUUUGAAAUGGGGACACUUUUUUCAAACGGUCAAAAAAUCUUCUCCACUUCGAGUUUUUAGCUGAAUUUUUUUGUGCAUGCCAACAAUUGUGAAAAGUGAAAAUUGUGAAACUCUUUCUAAAACAAUUUUAAAAAAUCUCGAACCGUAAAAAGUUUUAAAAAUUGUGAAAAGUAGAAAAUGGGUCGUCUUGCCAUGAAACUUCACAUGAAGGGGUAGGGGACAUUGUAUGAAUUUACAAGCCAUAAAAAUGGCAUUGGCACGGCAAAAAUAUGAAUAUGUGCUUGAACCCACCUACCACCCGUUCGAUCCCCGGCUUGCACAUCCUGCCUCUCUGGUCGGCUUAACGUCUGCACGCUCGUUUCCUGGGUUGACUUAGGCAUACGGAGUUCAUCUCUAGUCUAAGCAUACGAAGUUCAUUCCCAGUCUAAGAUUGGAUAGGAUCAAGGGUUACGACUAUAGGAUCGAAAGCACGCAGGAGGGUCCGCCCCGAUCCUCAGCUUGCGCAUUCUGCCUCUCAGACCGGCUGAGCACCUGCACGCUCGUUUCGUGGGUUGGCUUAGGCAUAGGGAGUUCAUUCCAUGUCUAAGCCCCAGCCGAACCGAGGGUUGUGGCAGUGGGACCGACAGCACGCAGAAGGGGAUCGGGUCGAUCCCCGGCUUGCCCAUUAUGCCUCUCCAGUCGGCUCAGCACCCGCAUGUUCGUUUUGUGGGUUGACUUAGGCAUACGGAGUUCAUUCCCAGUCUAAGAUCAGACCAGACCGAGGGUUGCGGUAGCAAGAUCGAUAGCACGUAGGGGGGAACCGAGCCGGUCCCUGGCUUGCGUAUUUUGCCUCUCCGGUCGACUGAGCCCCCGCAUGCUCGUUUCAUGGGUUGGCUUAGGCAUACGGAGUUCAUUCCAUGUCUAAGCAUAUGGAGUUCAUUCCCAUUCUAAGAUCGGAUCGGAUCGAGGGUUGCGGUAGCAUGACCAAUAGUAGGAUCGACAGCACGCAGGGGGGAUCGGGCCGAUCCCCGACUUGCGCAUUCUACAUCUUCGGCCGGCUGAGCUCUCGCAUGCUCGUUUCAUGGCUUGGCUUAGGCAUACGGAGUUCAUUCCAUGUCUAAGCCCCAGUCGGACCAAGGGUUGUGGCAGUAGGACCGGUAGCAGGAUCGACAGCAUGUAGAGGAGGAUCGAGCUUAUCCCAGGCUUGGGCAUUAUGUCUUUUCGGUCGACCUCUCCGACUGGCUGAGUGCCCGCACACUCGUGUCAUGGGUUGACUUAGGCCUACAGAGUUCAUCCCCAGUCUAAGCAUACGGAGUUCAUUCCCAGUCUAAGAUCGGACCAAACUAAGGGCUGCGACAGCAAGAUCGACAGCAUGCAGGGUGGACCAGGGCGAUCCCCGACUUGCGCAUUCUACCUCUGCGGUCGGUUGAAUGCCCGUAUGCCCGUUUCGUUGGUUGGCUUAGGCAUAGGGAGUUGAUUCCAUGUCUAAGCCCUAGUCGGACCGAGGGUUGUGGUAGCGAGAUCGAUAGCAAACAGAGGGGGACCGAGCUGAUCCCUGACUUACGUAUUAUGCCUAUUCGGUUGGCUCAGCACCUGAACGCUCGUUUCGUGGGUUGACUUAGGCAUACAGAGUUCAUUCCCAGUCUAAGAUCGGAUCAGACCGAGGGUUGCGAUAGCACACAGGGGGGAUUUGGCCAGUCCCUAGCUUGUGCAUUCUGCCUCUCCGAUGGGCUGAGCGCCCGCACGCUCGUUUCGUGGGUUGGCUUAGGCAUACGGAGUUUAUUCCAUGUCUAAGCAUAUGGAGUUCAUUCCCAGUCUAAGAUCGGAUCGGAUCGAGGGUUGCGGCAGCAGGAUCGACAUCAUGCAGGGGGGAUCGGGCCGAUCCACGGCUUGCACAUUCUGCCUCUCUGGCCGGUUGAGCGCUCGCACGCUCGUUUCAUGGGUAGGCUUAGGCAUACGAAGUUCAUUCAAUGUCUAAGCCCCAGUCGGACUGAGGGUUGUGGCAGCAGAAUCGACAGCAGGAUCAGCAGCACGCAAAGGGGGAUCGGGCUAAUCCCCGACUUGUGCAUUAUGUCUCUCUGACCAGCCUCUUCGAUUGACUGAGUGUACGCAUGCUCGUUUCAUAGGUUGACUUAGGCAUACAGAGUUCAUCCCCGGCUUACGUAUUCUACCUCUCCGACCGACUGAACGCUCGCAUGCUCGUUUCGUGGGUUGACUUAGGCAUACGAAAUUCAUCCUCAGUCUAAGCAUACGGAGUUCAUUCCCAGUCUAAGAUCAAAUCGGACCGAGGGUUGCGAUAGUAGGAUCAGUAGCACGCAGGGGAGACCGGGCCGAUCCCCGGCUUGCGCAUUCUACCUCUCCGGUCGGUUGAGCGCCCGCACGCCCGUUUCAUGGGUUGGCUUCGGCAUAGGGAGUUCAUUCCAUGUCUAAGCCCCAACCAGACCGAGGGUUGUUGCAGAGGGACCGGUAGCAUGCAGAUGGGGACCGGGCCGAUCCCCGGCUUGCACAUUCUGCCUUUCCAGCCGGGUGAGCGCCCGCACGCUCGUUUCGUGGGUUGGCUUAGGCAUACGGAGUUCAUUCCAUGUCUAAGCAUAUGGAGUUCACUCCCAGUCUAAGAGUUUGAGCCACGGUGCACAUGCUGCACUCGGGCAUGUGCUGGUACCACCUUUUUUUGCUUGGGGCACCAUCACCGGAGCACCGUCGAAGAGCCUAACCGGUGGCAUUAGGGGUUCCGAUGAUUGGGGGGCCGAAGGGGUGUGUGCACAUGAUGUGCGAUGGGUGCUGGUACUUGGCCCUCAUAUUGGCCCCCUAUCCCUCAUCAAACCUCGAGAACUCACACCCCCUUAAAGGGCAUUUGAGAUUUUAUAGAUUUGCUGCCAAUAGCCAUUAAAGUGUUUAAAAUGGGGACACUUUUUUCAAACGGUCACAAAAUCUUCUCCACUUCGAGUUUUUAGCUGAAUUUUUUUGUGCAUUCCAACAAAAAUACAAGGAUCACCUAUACCAAAUUUGGGGACAAAUUUCUUUCCAAAAAAAAUUUUAAAAAAUCUUGAACCGUAAAAAGUUUCAAAAAUCGUGAAAAGUAGAAAACGGGUCGUCUUGCCAUGAAACUUCACAUGAAGGUGUAGGGGACCAUUGUACGAAUUUACAGGCCACAAAAAUGGCUUUGGCAGGGCAGAAAUAUGAAGAUGUGCUUGAACCCACCUACCACCCGUUCGAUCCCUGGCUUAUGCAUCCUGCCUCUCUGGUCGGCUGAGCGUCUGCACGCUCGUUUCGUGGGUUGACUUAGGCAUACGGAGUUUAUCCCCAGUCUAAGCAUACAAAGUUCAUUCCCAGUCUAAGAUCAGACCAGACCGAGGGUUGCGACAGUAGGAUCGGUAGCACACAGGGGGGACCGGGCUGAUCCCCGACUUGCACAUUCUGCCUCUCGACCGGCUGAGCUCCCACACGCCGUUUGUGGGUUGGCUUAGGUAUAGGGAGUUCAUUCCAUGUCUAAGACCCAGUCGGACCGAGGGUUGUGACAGCACACAGAGGGGGAUCGGGCCAAUCCUCAGCUUACGCAUUAUGCCUCUCCGGUUGGCUCAGCACCCGUACACUCAUUUCGUAGGUUGACUUAGGUAUACGGAGUUCAUUCCCAGUCUAAGAUCGGACCGGACCGAGGGUUGCGGUAGCAGGAUCGAUAGCACACAGAGGGGGAUCGGGCCGGUCCCCGGCUUGCGCAUUCUGCCUCUCCGAUCGGCUAAGCCCGCCCGUUAGUUUCGUGGGUUGGCUUAGGCAUACGAGUUCAUUCCAUGUCUAACCAUACGAAGUUCUUUCCCAUUCUAAGAUCGGACUGGACCGAGGUUUGCGAUAGCAGGACCAACAGCAGGAUCGGUAGCACGUAGGGGGGACCAGGCUGAUCCUCGCUUGUGCAUUCUGCCUCUUCGACUAGUUGAGCACCCGCACACACGUUCGUUUCAUGGGUUGGUUUAGGCAUACGGAGUUCAUUCCAUGUCUAAGCAUACAGAGUUCAUUCCCAAUCUAAGAUCAGACCAGACCGAGGGUUGCGGCAGCAGGAUUGACAGCCCGCAAGGGGGACCGGGCUGAUCCCUCGGCUUACGCAUUUUGCCUCUUCGACUGGCCGAGCGCCUGCACUCUCGUUUCGUGGGUUGGCUUCGGCAUAUGAAGUUCAUUCCAUGUCUAAGCCCCUGUCGGACCGAGGGUUGUGGUAGCAAGACCGGCAGCGGGAUUCACAGCACGUAGAGAGAGACCGGGCCGAUCCCCGGCCUGCCCAUUAUGCCUUUCUGGUCGACUGAGCACCCGCAUGCUCGUUUCAUGGUUGACUUAGGCAUACAGAGUUCAUCCCCAGUCUAAGCAUACGGAGUUUAUUCCCAGUCUAAGAUCAGACCGAACCAAGGGUUACGGUAGUAGGAUCGAUAGCAUGCUGAGGGGACAGGGUCGAUCCCCGACUUGCGCAUUCUGGCUCUCUGGCUGGCUGAGGGCUCGGAUGCCCAUUUCGUGGGUUGGGUUAGGCAUAGGGAGUUCAUUCCAUGUCUAAGCCCUAGUCAGACUGAGGGUUAUGGCAGCGAGACCGGUAGAACAUAGAGAGGGAUCAGGCCGAUCCCCAGCUUGCGCAUUAUGCCUCUUCGGUCGGCUCAGUGCCCGCACGCUCGUUUCGUGGGUUGACUUAUGCAUAUCAAGUUCAGUCCCAGUCUAAGAUUAGAUCGGGCUGAGGGUUGUGGUAGCAGGAUCGACAGCACGCAGGGGGGAUCAAGCCGAUCCCCGACUUGCGCAUUCUGCCUCUCCAGUCAACUGAGCGCCCUCACGCUUGUUUCGUGGGUUGGCUUAGGCAUACGGAGUUCAUUCCAUGUCUAAGCAUACAGAGUUCAUUCCAUGUCUAAGCAUAUGGAUUGCUUUUCCAGUCAAAUAUUUUGAGCCAUGGUGCACAUGCGUGGGCUCGAGCAUGUUGUUGGUGCCGUAUUUUUCUUCGCUCGGGGCCCAUCACCGGAGCAUUGGUCGGAGGCAUUGGGGGUUCCGAUGAUUUGGGCGGGACCGGUGGGAGUGUGCGCAGCAUGAUGUGGCAAUGGGUGGCUGGUACUGGUGGCCCUUAUAUUGGCCCCCCUAUCCCUCAUCAAACCUUGAGAACUCACAACCCCCUUAAGAGCAUUUGAGAUUUUAUAGGUUUGCUGCCAGUAGCCAUUAAAGUGUCUGAAAUGGGGACACUUUUUUCAAACGGUCACAAAAUUCUUCUCCACUUCGAGUUUUUAGCUGAAUUUUUUUGUGCAUGCCAACAAAAAAUACAAGGAUGCACCUCUACCAAAUUUGGGAACAAAACUCUUUCUAAAAAAAUUUAAAAAAACCCUGAACCACAAAAAGUUUCAAAAAUCAUGAAAAAUAGAAAACGAGUCGUCUUGCCACGAAAUUUCACUUGAAGGCUUAGGGGACCGUUGUAUGAAUUUACAUGCCAUAAAAAUGGCAUUGGCAUGGCAGAAAUAUGACAAUGUGCUUGAACCCACCUACCACCCGUUCGAUCCCCGACUUGCGCAUCCUACCUCUCUAGUCGGCUGAGCGCCCGUACGCUCGUUUCGUGGGUUGACUUCAGCAUACAGAGUUCAUCCCCAGUCUAAGCAUACGAUUUUCAUUCCCGGUCUAAGAUUGGAUCGAACCGGAGGCUGCGACAGCAAUAUCGACAGCACGCAGGGGGAAGCGGGUCGAUCCCCAGCUUGCGCAUUCUGCCUCUCCGGCCGACUGAGCGCCCGCACGUCCAUUUCAUGGGUUGGCUUAGGGAUAGGGAGUUCAUUCCAUGUCUAAGCGCCAGCCAAACUGAGGGUUGUGGCAGUGGGACUGGCAGCACGCAGAGGGCGAUGGGGCCGAUCCUCGACUUGCGCAUUAUGCCUCUCCGAUCGGCUCAACGCCCACACGCUCGUUUCGUGGGUUGACUUAGGCAUAUGGAGUUCAUUUCAGUCUAAGAUCGGACCGAACCGAGGGUUGCGGGAGUAGGAUCGAUAGCAUACAGGGGGGACCCGGCUAGUCCCUAGCUUGCGCAUUCUACCUCUCCGAUCGUUUGAGUGCCCGUACGCUCGUUUCGUGGGUUGGGUUAGGCAUACGGAGUUUAUUCCAUGUCUAAGCAUACGGAGUUCAUUCCCAAUCUAAGAUCGGAUCGGACCGAGGGUUGCGACAGCAGGACCAGCAAUAGGAUUGCAGCACACAGAGGGGGAUCAGGUUGAUCCUCGGCUUACGUAUUCUACCUCUCCGACCGGCUGAACAUCCGCACGCUCGUUUCGUGGGUUGGCUUAGGCAUACGAAGUUCAUUCCAUGUCUAAGCCCCAGCCGGACCAAGGGUUAUAGCAGCAGGACCGAUAGCGGGAUCGGCAGCACGCAGAGGGGGAUCGGGCUGAUCCUCGGCUUGCACAUUAUGCCUCUCCGGCCAGCCUCUCCGGUCGACUGAGCACCCACACGCUCAUUUUGUGGGUUGGCUUAGGCAUACGGAGUUCAUCCCCAGUUUAAGCAUACGGAGUUCAUUCCAUGUCUAAGCAUACGGAGUUCAUUGCCAGUCUAAGAUCGGACUGGACCAAAGGUUGCAGUAGCAGGAUCGACAGCACAUAGGAGGUGACUGGGCCGAUCUCCAACUUGCACAUUCUGCCUCUCCGACCAGCUGAGCACCACACGCUUGUUUCAUGGGUUGGCUUAGGCAUACGGAGUUCAUUCCAUGUCUAAGCAUACAGAGUUCAUUCCCAGUCUAAGAUUUUGAGCCACAGUGCACAUGCUGGGCUCGAGCAUGUGCUGGUACCACAUUUUUUUUGCUCGGGGCACCAUUGUCGAAGCAUCACCGGAGCAUCGUCGGAGAGCCUAACCGGUGGCAUUGGGGGUACCGGCGAUUGGGGAGGCCGGGGGGGUGUGCGCACAUCAUGUGCGAUGGUUGCUGGUACUUGGCCCUUAUAUUGGCUCCCUAUCCCUCAUUAAACCUCAAGAACUCACACCCCUUUAAAGAGCAUUUGAGAUUUUAUAGGUUUGCUGCCAGUAGCCAUUAAAGUGUCUGAAAUGGGGACACUUUUUUCAAACGGUCACAAAAUCUUCUCCACUUCGAGUUUUUAGCUGAAUUUUUUUGUGCAUGCCAACAAAAAUACAAGGAAACCUCUACCAAAUUUGGGGACAAAACUCUUUCUAAAAAAAUUUUAAAAAAUCUCGAACCGUAAAAAGUUUCGAAAAUCAUGAAAAAUAGAAAAUGGGUCAUCUCGCCAUGAAACUUCACAUGAAGUCUGAGCGCCAGCAUGCCCGUUUUGUGGGUUGGCUUAGGAAUAGGGAGUCCAUUCCAUGUCUAAGCCCCAGCCAGACCAAGAGUUGUGGCAGCGGGACCGACAGCAUGCUGAGGGGACCGGGUCGAUCCCUGGCUUGCGCAUUAUGCCUCUUCGGUCGGCUCAGUGCCUGUACGCUCGUUUCAUGGGUUGACUUAUGCAUACGGAGUUCAUUCCUAGUCUAAGAUUGGACAAGACCGAGAGUUGCGAUAGUAGGAUCAAUAGCACGCAGGGGAGGAUCGGGCCAUCCCCGACUUGUGCAUUCUGCCUCUCCGGCCGGCUAAGUGCCCGCAUGCUCGUUUCAUGGGUUGGCUUAGGCAUACGGAGUUCAUUCCAUGUCUAAGCAUAUGGAGUUCAUUCCUAGUCUAAGAUUGGACUGGACCGAAGUUGCGGCAGCAGGAUCGGUAGCACGUAGGGGGGGAUCGGGCCGAUCCCCGGCUUGGGUAUUCUGCCUUUCCGACUGACUGAGUGCCUGCACGCUCGUUUUCUGGGUUAGCUUAGCCAUACGGAGUUCAUUCCAUCUCUAAGCGCUAGCCGGACCGAGGGACAUGGUAGCAGGAUCGGCGGCAUGCAGAGGGGGACCGAGCUGAUCCUCGGCUUACGUAUUAUGCCUCUUCGGUUGGCUGAGUGUCCGCACACUCUUUUCAUGGGUUGACUUAGGCACACGGAGUUCAUCCCCAGUCGAAGCAAAUAGAGUUCAUUCCCAGUCUAAGAUCGGAUCGGAUCGAGGGUUACGGUAGCAGGAUCGAUAGUACACAGAGGGGAUUGGGCCGAUCCCCGACAUGCGCAUUCUACCUCUCCAGCCAGCUGAGUGCCCAUACGCCCAUUUCGUGGGUUGGCUUAGGCAUAAGGAGUUCAUUCCAUGUCCAACCCCCAGCCGGACCAAGGGUUGUGGCAGUGGGAUUAGCAGACUGCAGAGGAGGAUUGGGCCGAACCCUGGCUUGCGCAUUAUGCCUCUUCGGUCGGCUCAGCACCCAUACACUCGUUUCGUGGCUUGACUUAUGCAUACAGAGUUCAUUCCCAGUCUAAGAUCAGACUGAACCAAGGGUUAUGAUAGCAGGAUCGACAGCAAGCAGGGGGGAUCGAGCCGAUUCCCGGCUUGCACAUUUUGCCUCUUCGACCGACUGAGCGCCCGCACGCUUGUUGCGUGGCUUGGCUUAGGCAUAUGAAGUUCAUUCCAUGUCUAAGCAUACAGAGUUCAUUCCCAGUCUAAGAUUUUGAGCCACGGUGCACAUGCUGGGCUAAGGCAUGUGCUGGUGCCGCAUUUUUUUUGCCCGGGGCACCAUCGUCGGAGCAUCGCCGGAGAGCCUAACCGACGGCAUUGGGGGUUCCGACGAUUGGGGGGGUUGGGGGGUGUGCGGACAUGAUGUGUGAUGGGUGCUGGUACUUGACCCUUAUAUUGGCCCCAUAUCCCUCAUCAAACCUUGAGAACUCACACCCCCUUAAAGAGCAUUUGAGAUUUUAUAGGUUUGCUGCCAGUAGCCAUUAAAGUGUCUGAAAUGGGGACACUUUUUUCAAACGGUCACAAAAUCUUCUCCAGUUUGAGUUUUUCGCUGAAUUUUUUUUUGCAUGCUAAAAAAAAUACAAGGAUCAUCUCUACCAAAUUUGGGGACAAAAAUCUUUCUAAAAAAUUUUUAAAAAAUCCCGAACCGCAAAAAGUUUCAAAAAUCAUGAAAAAUAAAAAACGGGUCAUCUUGCCACGAAACUUCACAUGAAGGCUUAGGGGACCAUUGUAUGAAUUUAAAAGCCAUACAAAUGGUAUUGGCAUGGUAGAAAUAUGAAGAUGUGCUUGGACACACCUACCAUCCGUUUGAUCCCCGACUUGUGCAUCUUGCCUCUCUGGUCGACUGAGGACUCGCAUGCUCGUUUCGUGGGUUGACCUAGGCAUACGGAGUUCAUCCCCAGUCUAAGCAUACAGAGUUCAUUCCUAGUCUAAGAUCAAACUGGGAUGAAGGUUGCGAUAGCAGGAUCGACAGCACGUAGGGGGGACUGGGCCAUCCCUGACUUGUACAUUCUGCCUCUCCAAUCGACAAAGCGCCCGCAUGCUCGUUUCGUGGGUUGGCUUAGGCAUACGGAGUUCAUUCCAUGUCUAAGCAUAUGGAGUUCAUUCCCAAUCUAAGAUUUUGAGCCUCGGUGUACAUGCUGGGCUCGGGCAUGUACUGGUGCCGUAUUUUUUUUGCUCGGGGCACCAUCGCCGGAGCAUCACUGGAGAGCCUAACCGACGGCAUUGGGGGUUCCGGAGAUUGGGGUGCCGGGGGGUGUGCACACAUGAUGUGCGAUGGGUGCUGGUACUUGGCCCUUAUAUUGGCCCCCUAUCCCUCAUCAAAUCUUGAGAACUCACACCCCCUUAAAGAGCAUUUGAGAUUUUAUAGCUUUGUUACCAGUAGCCAUUAAAGUGUUUGAAAUGGGGACUCUUUUUUCAAACGGUCACAAAAUCUUCUCCACUUUGACUUUUUAGCUGAAUUUUUUUAUGCAUGCCAACAGAAAUACAAGGAUCAUGAACCGAAAAAAGUUUUGAAAAUUGUGAAAAAUAGAAAACAGGUCAUCUUGCCACGAAACUUCACAUGAAGGCUUAGGGGACCAUUGUAUGAAUUUACAAGCCAUAAAAAUGGCAUUGGGACGGCAGAAAUAUGAAGAUGUGCUUGAACCCACCUACCACACGUUCGAUCUUAGGCUUGCGCAUCCUGUCUCUCUGGUCGACUGAGUGCCCGUACGCUCGUUUCAUGGGUUGACUUAGGCAUACGGAGUUCAUCCUCAGUCUAAGCAUAAGGAGUUCAUUCCCAGUCUAGGAUCGGAUCGGAUCGAUGGUUGCGGUAGCAGGAUCGGUAGCACGCAGGGGGGAUCGAGCCAAUUCCCGGCUUACGCAUUCUGCCUCUCCGAUCAGCUGAGUGCCUGUACGCCCGUUUCAUGGGUUGGCUUAGGCAUAUGGAGUUCAUUCCAUGUCUAAGCAUAUGGAGUUCAUUCCCAGUCUAAGAUUGGACCAGAUCGAGGGUUGCGAUAGUAGGACUAGUAGCAGGAUCGGUAGCAUGCAGGGGGGGAUCAGUCCGAUCCUCGGCUUGUGCAUUCUGCCUCUCCGACUGACUGAGCGCCUGCAAGCUCGUUUCGUGGGUUGGCUUAGCCAGACAGAGUUCAUUCCAUCUCUAAGCCCCAGCCGGACCGAGGGUUGUGGUAGCAGGACCGACAGCACGCAGAGAGGGAUCGGCCUGAUCCCCGGCUUACGUAUUAUGCCUCUCUGAUCGGCUGAAUGCCCGCACGCUCAUUUCGUGGGUUGACUUAGGCCCACAGAGUUCAUCCCCAGUCGAAGCAAACAGAGUUCAUUCCCAGUCUAAGAUCAAAUCAGAUCGAGGGUUAUGGUAGCAGGAUCGAUAGUACGUAGAAGGGAUCGGGCCGAUCCCCGACUUGCGCAUUUUGCCUCUCCAGCCAGCUGCGCCGCAUGCUCUUUCUUGUGGGUCCAUGCUAACCAACCCAACGCGGACCAAGGGUGUUGGCAGUGGGAUGCAGAAUGUAGAAGGGGAUUGGGUCGACCCCUUGCGCAUUAUGCUCUUCGGGCUCAGCGCCCACAACUCAUUUCGUGGCUUGACUUUUGCAUACGGAGUUCGUUCCCAGUCUAAGAUUGGACCAAACCAAGGGUUACAACAGCAGGAUCGACAGCAAGCAGGGGGGAUCAGGCUGAUCACCGGCUUGCGCAUUCUACCUCUUCGGCCGGCUGAGCCCCCGCACGCUUGUUUUGUGGGUUGGCUUAGGCAUACGGAGUUCAUUCCAUGUCUAAGCAUACGUAGUUCAUUCGAUUUUGAGCCACGGUGCACAUGCUUGGCUCCAGCAUGUGCUGGUGCCGCAUUUUUUUCACUCGGGACAGCAUCGCCGGAGCAUCGCCAGAGCAUCGCCGGAGUACCGUCGGAGAACCUGACCGGCGGCAUUGGGGUUCCGGCGAUUGGGAGGGGGGCCGGGGGGGUGUGCGCACAUGAUGUGCGAUGGGUGCUGGUACUUGGCCCUUGUAUUGGCCCCCUAUCCCUCAUCAAACCUCUGAGAACUCACACCCCCUUAAAGAGCAUUUGAGAUUUUACAGGUUUGCUGCCAGUAGCCGUUCAAGUGUCUGAAAUGGGGACACUUUUUUCAAACGGUCACGAAAUCUUCUCCGGUUCGAGUUUUUAGCUGAAUUUUUUUGUGCAUGCCAACAAAAAUAGAAGGAUCACGUCCACAAAAUUUGGGGCCAAAACUCCUUCUAAAAAAAUUCUAAAAAAUCCCGAACCGCAAAAAGUUUCGAAAAUCGUGAAAAAUAGAAAACGAGUCAUCUUCCAACGAAACUUCACGUGAAGGCUUAGGGGACCAUUGUAUGAAUUUACAAGCCAUAAAAAUGGCAUUGGCACGGCAGAAAUUUGAAGAUGUGCCUAAACCCACCUAGCACCCGAUCGAUCCCCGGCUUGCGCAUCCUGCCUCUCCGGCCGGCUGAGCGCCCGCACGCUCGUUCCGUGGGUUGACUUAGCCAUACGGAGUUCAUUCCAUGUCUAAGCCCCAGUCGGACCGAGGGUCGCGGCAGCUGGACCGGCAGCGGGAUUGGCAGCAGCACGCGGGGGGACCGGGCCGAUCCCCGGCUUGCGCAUUAUGCCCCUCCAGUCGACUGAGCGCCCGCACGCUCGUUUCGUGGGUUGACUUAGGCAUACGGAGUUCAUUCCCGAUCUAAGCAUACGGAGCUCAUUCUCGGUCUAAGAUCGGACCGACAGCGGGAUUGGCAGCAGCACGCGGGGGGGACCGGAUCGGUCUCCGGCUUGCGCAUUAUGCCCCUCCGGCCGGCUGAGCGCCCGCACGCUCGUUCCGUUGGUUGACUUAGGCACACGGAGUUCAUUCCAUGUCUAAG
Molecule: long non-coding RNA, 48874 nt
Filed under: Durio zibethinus
Lineage: Eukaryota; Viridiplantae; Streptophyta; Magnoliopsida; Malvales; Malvaceae
Description: long non-coding RNA (DZIB_LNC000047)
Source: RNAcentral